UCCCCAUUUCUUCUCUAGCCUGAGCCUGGCACACUAUUCUAGCUAGACAUGGGUGUGGCUCAUAACACUUGUUGACUAAAUGGAUCGACGGCACCAUCGAAUCUCAAACUUUAACUGCCAAAACUAUUGUUUUUCAUCCUGUAGUCCCAUUUAGAAUUAUUAAACGUCCUUUUUUGGGCCGAUAUUUAGAGUAAUGCUUUCUCGGGGUUUGUCUGCAAGUAUUUCAAACCAUACGGACCUAAAAAUUAGAAGUCAUUCCAUCUUUAUUCCCCUAGAGCCUUCCAGCAGUUCCUAAACCGCUCUAGUCGGAGCACGUUAUCAUUCUUGUUAGUUCUGAGUGAAUUCCCUCAGUAUGAUAAUUCUUUCAUCUGUUUGUUCCCCGUUUCUUCUCUAGCCUGAGCCUGACACACUAUUCAAGCUAGACAUGGAUGUGGCUCGUAACACCUGAUGACCAAACGGAUCUACGGCACCAUCGAAUCCCAAACUUUAACUGCCAAAACUAUUGUUUUUCAUCCUGUAGUCCCUUUUAGAAUUACUAAACGUCCUUUUUUGGGCCGAGAUUUCCAGGAAUGCUUUCUCGGGGUUUGUGUGCAAGUAUUUCAAACCAUACAAAGCUAGAAAUUAGAAGUCAUUCCAUCUUUAUUAUCGUAGAGCCUUCCAGCAGUUCCUAAACCGGUCUAGUCGGAGCACGUUAUCAUUCUAGUUAGUUCUGAGUGAAUUCCCUCGGUAUGAUAAUUCUUUCAUCAGUUUGUUCCCCGUUUCUUCUCUAGCCUGAGCCUGACAAACUAUUCUAGCUAGACAUGCGUGUGGCUCGUAACACCUGAUGACCAAACGGAUCUAUAGCACCAUCGAAUCUCAAACUUUAACUGCCAAAACUAUUGUUUUCAUCCUGUAGUCCCUUUUAGAAUUACUAAACUUCCUUUUUUGGGCCGAGAUUUAGAGGAACGCUUUCUGGGGUUUGUGUGCAAGUAUUUCAAACCAUACAGACCUAAAAAUUAGAAGUCAUUCCAUCUUUAUUCCCCUAGAGCCUUCCAGCAGUUCCUAAACCGCUCUAGUCGGAGCACGUUAUCAUUAUUGUUAGUUCUGAGUGAAUUCCCUCGGUAUGAUAAUUCUUUCAUCAGUUUGUUCCCUGUUUCUUCUCUAUCCUGAGCCUGACACACUAUUCUAGCUAGACAUGGGUGUGGCUCGUAACACCUGAUGACUAAAUGGAUCGACGGCACCAUCGAAUCUCAAACUUUAACUGCCAAAACUAUUGUUUUUCAUCCUGUAGUCCCAUUUAGAAUUAGUAAACGUCCUUUUUUGGGCCGAGAUUUAGAGGAACGCUUUCUCGGGGUUUGUGUGCAAGUAUUUCAAACCAUACGGACCUAAAAAUUAGAAGUCAUUCCAUCUUUAUUCCCCUAGUCAUCAGGUAUACACUCAAGUCGGAGCACGUUAUCAUUCUUGUUAGUUCUGAGUGAAUUCCCUCGGUAUGAUAAUUCUUUCAUAAAUUUGUUCCCCGUUUCUUAUAUGGCCUGAGCCUGACACACUAUUCUAGCUAGACAUGGGUGUGGCUCGUAACACCUGAUGACCAAACGGAUCUACGGCACCAUCAAAUCUCAAACUUUAACUGCCAAAACUAUUCUUUUUCAUUCUGUAGUCCCUUCUAGAAUUACUAAACGUCCUUUUUUGGGCCGAGAUUUCCAGGAACGCUUUCUCGGGGUUUGUGUGCAUGUAUUUCAAACCAUACAGACCUAAAAAUUAUAAGUCAUUCCAUCUUUAUUCCCGUAGAGCCUUCCAGUAGUUCCUAAACCGCUCCAGUCGGAGCAUGUUAUCAUUCUUGUUAGUUCUAAGUGAAUUCCCUCGGUAUGAUAAUUCUUUCAUCAGUUUGUUCCCCGUUUCUUCUCUAGCCUGAGCCUGGCACACUAGUCUAGCUAGACAUGGGUGUGGCUCGUAACACCCGAUGACUAAAUGGAUCGACGGCACCAUCGAAUCUCAAACUUUAACUGCCAAAACUAUUGUUUUUCAUCCUGUAGUCCCAUUUAGAAUUACUAAACGUCCUUUUUUGGGCCGAGAUUUAGAGGAACGCUUUCUCGUGGUUUGUGUGCAAGAAUUUCAAACCAUACGGACCUAAAAAUUAGAAGUCAUUCCAUCUUUAUUCCCCUAGAGCCUUCCAGUAGUUCCUAAACCGCUCUAGUCGGAGCACGUUAUCAUUCUUGUUAGUUCUGAGAGAAUUCCCUCGGUAUGAUAAUUCUUUUAUCAGUUUGUUCCCCGUUUCUUCUCUAGCCUGAGCCCGACACACUAUUCUAGCUAGACAUGGGUGUGGCUCGUAACACCUGAUGACCAAACGGAUCUACGGCACCAUCGAAUCUCAAACUUUAACUGCCAAAACUAUUGUUUUUCAUCCUGUAGUCCCUUUUAGAAUUACUAAAUGUCCUUUUUUGGGCCGAGAUUUCCAGGAACGCUUUCUCAGGGUUUGUGUGCAAGUAAUUCAAACCAUACGGACCUAAAAAUUAGAAGUCAUUCCAUCUUUAUUCCCCUAGAGCCUUCCAGCAGUUCCUAAACCGCUCAAGUCAGUGCACGUUAUCAUUCUUGUUAGUUCUAAGUGAAUUCCCUCGGUAUGAUAAUUUGUUCAUCAGUUUGUUCCCCGUUUCUUCUCUAGCCUGAGCCUGACACACUAUUCUAGCUAGACAUGGGUGUGGCUCGUAACACCUGAUGACCAAACGGAUCUACGACACCAUCGAAUCUCAAACUUUAACUACCAAAACUAUUGUUUUUCAUCCUCUAGUCCCUUUUAGAAUUACUAAACGUCCUUUUUUGGGCCGAGAUUUCCAGGAACGCUUUCUCGGGGUUUGUGUGCAUGUAUUUCAAACCAUACAGACCUAAAAAUUAGAAGUCAUUCCAUCUUUAUUCCCGUAGAGCCUUCCAGCAGUUCCUAAACCGCUCCAGUCGGAGCAUGUUAUCAUUCUUGUUUGUUCUGAGUGAAUUCCCUCGGUAUGAUAAUUCUAUCAUCAGUUUGUUCCCCGUUUCUUCUCUAGCCUGAGCCUGGCAAACUAUUCUAGCUAGACAUGGGUGUGGCUCGUAACACCUGAUGACCAAACGGAUCUACGACACCAUCGAAUCUCAAACUUUAACUACCAAAACUAUUGUUUUUCAUUCUAUAGUCCCUUCUAGAAUUUCUAAACGUCCUUUUUUGGGCCGAGAUUUCCAGGAAUGCUUUCUCGGGGUUUGUGUGCAAGUAUUUCAAAUCAUACGGACCUAAAAAUUAGAAGUCAUUCCAUCUUUAUUCCCCUAGAGCCUUCCAGUAGUUCCUAAACCGCUCCAGUCGGAGCACGUUAUCAUUCUUGUUAGUUCAUAGUGAAUUCCCUCGGUAUGAUAAUUCUUUCAUCAGUUUGUUCCCCGUUUCUUCUCUAGCCUGAGCCUGGCACAGUAUUCUAGCUAGACAUGGGUGUGGUCGUAACACCUGAUGACUAAAUGGAUCGACGGCACCAUCGAAUCUCAAACUUUAACUGCCAAAACUAUUGUUUUUCAUCCUGUAAUCCCAUUUAGAAUUACUAAACGUCCUUUUUUGGGCCGAGAUUUAGAGGAACGCUUUGUUGGGGUUUGUGUGCAAGUAUUUCAAACCAUACGGACCUAAAAAUUAGAACUCAUUCCAUAUUUAUUCCCCUUGAGCCUUCCAGCAGUUCCUAAACCGCUCUAGUCGGAGCACGUUAUCAUUCUUGUUAGUUCUAAGAGAAUUCCCUCGGUAUGAUAAUUCUUUUAUCAGUUUGUUCCCCGUUUCUUCUCUAGACUGGGCCCGACACACUAUUCUAGCUAGACAUGGGUGUGGCUCGUAACACCUGAUGACCAAACGGAUCUACGGCACCAUCGAAUCUCAAACUUCAACUGCCAAAACUAUUGUUUUUCAUCCUGUAGUCCCUUUUAGAAUUACUAAACGUCCUUUUUUGGGCCGAGAUUUCCAGGAACGCUUUCUCGGGGUUUGUGUGCAAGUAUUUCAAACCAUACGGACCUAAAAAUUAGAAGUCAUUCCAUCUUUAUUCCCGUAGAGCCAUCCAGCAGUUCCUAAACCGCUCCAGUCGGAGCACGUUAUCAUUCUUGUUAGUUCUGAGUGAAUUCCCUCGGUAUGAUAAUUCUUUCAUCAGUUUGUUCCCCGUUUCUUCUCUAGCCUGAGCCUGACAAACUAUUAUAGCUAGACAUGGGUGUGGCUCGUAACACCUGAUGACCAAACGGAUCUAUGGCACCAUCGAAUCUCAAACUUUAACUGCCAAAACUAUUGUUUUUCAUCCUGUAGUCCCUUUUAGAAUUACUAAACGCCCUUCUUUGGGACGAGAUUUCCAGGAACGCUUUCUCGGGGUUUGUGUGAAAGUAAUUCAAACCAUACGGACCUAAAAAUUAGAAGUCAUUCCAUCUUUAUUCCCGUGGAGCCUUCCAGUAGUUCCUAAACCGCUCCAGUCGGAGCACGUUAUCAUUCUUGUUAGUUCUGAGUGAAUUCCCUCGGUAUGAUAAUUCUUUCAUCAGUUUGUUCCCUGUUUCUUCUCUAGCCUGAGCCUGGCACACUAUUCUAGCUAGACAUGGGUGUGGCUCGUAACACCUGAUGACUAAACUGAUCAAUGACACCAUCGAAUCUCAAACUUUAACUGCCAAAACUAUUGUUUUUCAUCCUGUAGUCCCAUUUAGAAUUACUAAACGUCCUUUUUUGGGCCGAGAUUUCCAGGAACGCUUACUCGGGGUUUGUGUGCAAGUAUUUCAAACCAUACUGACCUAAAAAUUAGAAGUCAAUCCAUCUUUAUUCCCCUAGAGCCUUCCAGCAGUUCCUAAACCGCUCCAGUCGGAGCACGUUAUCAUUCUUGUUAGUUCUGAGUGAAUUCCCUCGGUAUGAUAAUUCUUUCAUCAGUUUGUUCCUUGUUUCUUCUCUAGCCUGAACCUGACACACUAUUCUAGCUAGACAUGGGUGUGGCUCGUAACACCUGAUGACCAAACGGAUCUACGGCACCAUCGAAUCUCAAACUUUAACUGCCAAAACUAUUAUUUUUAAUCCUCUAGUCCCAUUUAGAAUUACUAAACGUCCUUUUUUGGGCCGAGAUUUAGAGGAACGCUUUCAUGCGGUUUGUGUGCAAGUAUUUCAAACCAUACGGACCUAAAAAUUAGAAGUCAUUCCAUCUUUAUUCCCCUAGAGCCUUCCAGCAGUUCCUAAACCGCUCCAGUCGGAGCAUGUUAUCAUUCUUGUUAGUUCUGAGUGAAUUCCCUCGGUAUGAUAAUUCUUUCAUCAGUUUGUGGCCCGUUUCUUCUCUAGCCUGAGCCUGACACACUAUUCUAGCUAGACGUGGGUGUGGCUCGUAACACCUGAUGACCAAACGGAUCUACGGCACCAUCGAAUCUCAAACUUUAAGUGCCAAAACUAUUAUUUUUAAUCCUGUAGUCCCAUUUAGAAUUACAAAAAUGUCCUUUUUUGGGCUGAGAUUUCCAGGAACGCUUUCGUGCGGUUUGUGUGCAAGUAUUUCAAACCAUACAGACCAAAAAAUUAGAAGUCAUUCCAUCUUUAUUCCCUUAGAGCCUUCCAGCAGUUCCUAAACCGCUCAAGUCGGAGCAUGUUAUCAUUCUUGUUAGUUCUGAGUGAAUUCCCUCGGUAUGAUAAUUCUUUCAUCAGUUUGUUCCCCGUUUCUUCUCUAGCCCGAGCCUGACAAACUAUUAUAGCUAGACAUGGGUGUGGCUCGUAACACCUGAUGACCAAACGGAUCGACGACACCAUCGAAUCUCAAACAUUAACUGCCAAAACUACACCUCAUUGACACGUCUGUUGAAAAACAGAGAUCGCGCCCACUUAAUACGGGAUUUAGUAUCAAUGAUAUCUGGGUAAUCCAACCGACAGCAGCGCAUACCCACAUCAGGAACAGACGAUGUUUUAAGGCUAGGGAGGCAGGCGCUUGGUAUUCACUUCUUAUAUAAACGAAGUAAGAUUUAUCUUUUCCAUCCCACGCCUUCUUCCUUUUUCCGCCUCCCCAUCUCCUAGCUCUAGUGCCCGAGCCUCGAAACUUCCCACCACCACCAGCCUCCCCAGUCACGUUCGGAUCUGGCCUUCAAGGAAAGUGGGCCGCCUCCUCCGGGAGGGAGAAGGAUGUCAAGGAGCUCCAGGAUGCGGGGUACCUGAGUGCGGAAAUCACGUACAGGAUCCUAGCUAAGAAGCAAGUCAUCCCCACCCUAGAGCCCGGUGAGAGGGUGGUAUUUAUCCCCUACUUCCUCCGUGGACUAGGGUUUCCACUUCACCCUUUUGUCCGCGGCAUCAUGUUCUAUUACAGGCUAGAUUUCCAUGAUCUAGCCCCAAACUCAUUCCUCCACAUCUGGGCGUUUAUCGUUGAGUGCGUGGCGCUUCUCCGCAUCCCCCCCCCGGCACUUCGGUCUCUGGCUCAAAUUCUUCAACAUGAAGCCAAAGGUGGUGGAUGGGGAGCAUGCAGACUGCGGAGGCGCAAUGGUGAGCAAGCUUCCCAACAUCACCUGGCCCAAAGGGGCUUUUUGUGGAGACUGUAAAAAUAUGGCAGCAGGAGUGGUUCUACAUCACCGAACCUCGCGGCGCCAACUGGGCGGCCACUCCUGAAUUCAGAUCCGGACCCCCAAUGUGGCUAGCGUCGUGGAUCAACAAGGGCUUGGACUGGGGGUUAGCGAACGAGGAGACGAUGCUGCAAAAGCGCAUCAAAAACAUCAUAAAGAGGGACACCGACCUCCCCGACGUGGUUCAUGUGAUGCUAUUCCGCCGGAUCCUUCCCUGCUAGCACCGGCAUCUCCACAUGUGGGAGUUUAAUCCGGAAGGGCCACGAACCCUGCUUCAAUUCUCCGGCACAAUGCACGAAGAAAUCUGGAGGCUGCUUUUCAAGGCCCAGAAGAAGAAAUCGUGACCGGAGAUUGUCGACGACAUCGGCCUCGACUGCGCUCACCCAGCCACUCCGAUAAGUUUUUAUUUUCCGAACAUAACUUAAUCUGAACAUCGCAGGGGUGUAUUGGGAUUCUCACAUUUGUAACAGGGUUGGACGAAGAAGGCGGAGCGGAUUAAAGGUCUCGCUCCAUUGCCCGAAAGUCCCCCUGAUCCUCUACUGAUGAGGAUGUUGGUUCCGGCACCGUACCAGGCACCGGAAAAGAACACCAAGAAGAAGUUCAAGGAGGCCAAAGAUGACUCCCGCCGAAAAGGUCCCUCCGACACUAUGUCCGGGGAGUCCGAAGCCCUCUCCUCCCGCGAGGGUGAUGAAGAAGAGAAGGAGGAGGAGCAGGAAGAGAACAACUCUCCCCUUAAGGGGAGGAGGAAGAAAAGAGUGGCUUCCGCAGACCCAGAGACGGAGGCGUCCAAAAGGGGGAGAGCAUCUCUCUCGGAUGACUCGGAUUCGGCUGCCGAAGUCAUCCCCGAGCAUCGCCCUAGGUCCCCCAGCCGAAUCAUGACUGUCUCAAGAUGCCUUACAUACAUCGGCUUUUACAAUUAUCGUUUUUAACAUAUUGCAUUGUGUGUUUCAGCCCGGCCCGCGAUCUCCCUCAAACAUCGUCUCCGGGAAAUUCGUUGGAGCCAGGGGCGCUGGAGCGCAAGACGCCUCCGCGGGCUUUCCCGCUUAGCGCUCCGGACGACACCGAAGUUGUGCCCCGAAGAGCCUUUCUAGGCCACAGAGAGGUGCCGAAGUCCAUGGAAACCGAGGACGGGGUCCAUGACUGAUGACCCAUAAGUGUAGGGGAUCUAUCGUAGUCCUUUUGAUAAGUAAGAGUGUCGAACCCAACGAGGAGCAUAAGGAAUUGACAAGCGGUUUUCAGUAUGGUAUUCUCUACAAGCACUAAAAUUAUCGAUAACAGAUAGUUUUGUGAUAAGGUAAUUUUUAAUGAGUAACAAGCAAUGAAAGUAAAUAAGGUGCAGCAAGGUGGCCCAAUCCUUUUUGUAGCAAAGGACAAGCCUAGACAAGUUCUUAUAUAGAGAAAAGCGCUCCCGAGGACACAUGGGAAUUAUCGUCAAGCUAGUUUUCAUCACACUCAUAUGAUUCGCGUUCCUUACUUUGAUAAUUUGAUAUGUGGGUGGACCGGUGUUUGGGUACUGCCCUUUCUUGGACAAGCAUCCCACUUAUGAUUAACCCCUAUUCCAAACAUCCAAAACUACAAAAGAAGUAUUAAGUUAACCUAACCAUAGUGCUACGUCUUGAGCUUGCGUUGGUUUUCCUUGAAGAGGAAGGGGUGAUGCAGCAAUAGUAGCGUAAGUAUUUCCCUCAGUUUUUGAGACCCAAGGUAUCAAUCCAGUAGGAGGCUCCUCAAAAGUCCCACGCACCUACACAAACAAACAAAGAACUCAGCAACCAACGCAAUAAAGGGGUUGUCAAUCCCUUCAUGGCCACUUGCGAAAGUGAGAUCUAAUAAAGAUAAAUAAGAUAAGAUAAAUAUAUUUUUGGUAUUUUAUAAUAUAGAUGCAAAAAGUAAAGAUGCAAAUAAAAAUAGAUUGGAAGCAAAUAUGAUAAGAGAUAGACCCGGGGGCCAUAGGUUUCACUAGUGGCUUCUCUCAAGAUAGCAUAAGUAUUACGGUGGGUGAAUAAAUUACAGUCGAGCAAUUGAUAGAAAAGCGAAUAAUUAUGAGAUUAUCUAGGCAUGAUCAUGUAUAUUGGCAUCACGUUCGCAACAAGUAGACUGACUCCUGCCUGCAUCUACUACUAUUACUCCACACAUCGACCGACUCCUACCUGCAUCUACUACUAUUACUCCACACAUCGACCGACUCCUGCCUGCAUCUAGAGUAUUAAGUUCAUAAGAACAGAGUAACGCAUUAAGCAAGAUGACAUGAUGUAGAGGGAUAAACUCAAGCAAUAUGAUAUAAACCCCAUCUUGUUAUCUUCGAUGGCAACAAUACAAUACGUGCCUUGCAACCCUUUCUGUCACUCGGUAAGGACACCGCAAGAUUGAACUCAAAGCUAAGCACUUCUCCCAUGGCAAGAAAGAUCAAUCUAGUAGGCCAAACCAAACUGAUAAUUCGAAGAGACUUGCAAAGAUAACUCAAUCAUACAUAAAAGAAUUCAGAGAAGAUUCAAAUAUUAUCCAUAGAUAAACUUGAUCAUAAACCCACAAUUCAUCGGAUCUCGACAAACACACCGCAAAAAGAAUUUACAUCGAAUAGAUCUCCACAAGAGAGGGGGAGAAUAUUGUAUUGAGAUCCAAAAAGAGAGAAGAAGCCAUCUAGCUAAUAACUAUGGACCCGUAGGUCUAUGGUAAACUACUCACAACUCAUAGGAGGGGCUAUGGUGUUGAUGUAGAAGCCCUCCGUGGUCGAUUCCCCCUCCGGCAGAGUGCCGACGAAGGCUCCAAGAUGGGAUCUCGCGGAAACAGAAGGUUACGGUGGUGUAAAUUGUGUUUCGUUCGCUCCCUGGAUGUUUUCGGGGUACAUAGGUAUAUAUAGGAGGAUGAAGUACGUCAGUGGACGCCCGAGGGGCCCACGAGACAGGGGGCGCGCCCUAUAGGGGGGGCGCCCUCCUAUCUCGUGGAGGCCUCGGCUGCUUCUUGACUUGCACUCCAAGUCCUGUGCAUCACAUUCGUUCCAAUAAUCACGCUCCCGAAGGUUUCAUUCCGUUUGGAAUCCGUUUGAUAUUCCUUUUCUUUUAAAUACUGAAAUAGGCAAAAAAACAGCAAUACGGGAUGGGCCUCUGAUUAGUAGGUUAGUCCCAAAAAUGAUAUAGAUGUGUAAAAUAAAGCCCAUAAACAUCCAGAAGGGGUAAUAUAAUAGCAUGGAACAAUCAAAAAUUAUAGAUACAUUGGAGACAUAUCACAUAGCAUGAAACAUGUGGAUCCAAAUCAGCCCCUUACGAAGCAACACAUAAACUAGGGUUUAAGCUUCUGUCACUCUAGCAACCCAUCAUCUACUUAUUAACUCCCAAUGCGUUCCUCAAGGUCCAAACAAUGGUGAAGUGUCAUGUAGUCGACGUUCACAUAACACCACUAGAGGAGAGACAACAUACAUCUCAUCAAAAUAUUGAACGAAUACCAAAUUUACAUGACUACUAAUAGCAAGACUUCCCCCAUGUCCUCUGGAACAAACGUAACUACUCACAAAGCAUAUUCAUAUUCAUAAUCAGAGGUGUACUAAUAUGCAUUAAGGAUCUGAACAUAUGAUCUUGCACCAAAUAAACCAACUAGCAUCAACUACAAGGAGUAAUCAACACUACUAGCAACCCACAGGUACCAAUCUAAGGUUUUGGUAUAAAGAUUGGAUACAAGAGAUGAACUAGGGUUUGAGAGGAGAUGGUGCUGGUGAAGAUAUUGAUGGAGAUUGACCCCCUCCCCGAUGAGAGGAUCGUUGGUGAUGACGAUGGUGAUGAUUUCCCCCUCCCGGAGGUAAAUUUCCCCGGCAGAACAGCUCCGCCGAAGCCCUAGAUUGGUUUCGCCAAGGUUCCGCCUCAUGGUAGCGGAGUUUCAUCCCGUAAGCUUGCUUAUGUUUUUUCCAUGGUAAAAAGCCUUCAAAUAGUAGAAGAUGGCCACCGAAGGGCUGCCAGGGGGCCCACAAGGUAGGGGGCGCCUAGGGGGGUAGGGCGCGCCCCCACCCUCGUGGAUGGUGGGUGGCCCCCCUCAGGUAUUUCUUCCUCUCAAUAUUUUUUAUUAAUUACCAAAAUGACUUUCAUGGAGUUUCAGGACUUUUGGAGCUGUGCAGAAUAAGUCUCUAUUAUUUGCUCCUUUUCGAGCCCAGAAUCCCAGCUGCCGGCAUUCUCCCUCUUUAUGUAAAACUUGUAAAAUAAGAGAGAAUAGGCAUAAGUAUUGUGACAUAACGUGUAAUAACAGCCCAUAAUGCACUAAAUAUCGAUAUAAAAGCAUGAUGCAAAAUGGACGUAUCAGUGACCAAUCUGUCCCCUAGCCGCACACUAUUUCGGAAACCCAUACAGGUCCGGAAUCCAACAAGCAACCCCCUUUGAAGGAGGGAAGAGCGUCAACUCCACCGGUGACCUCCAUGAAUCUGGAAGCGCCAGAUAAUUUGACGGAAGUGCUUCAUCAUGCUUCCAUCAUGGAGGAGAACCGCACCCUUAUGGGUGUGGUGGCUGAGAAGAUUCAGUCCGCCAAAAGCAGGUAGAACGAAGCCUUUACUAGCCUGUUAACAGGCAUUGAGGUAUGUGAUGUAAUUUUCUAACUGAUUCCAAUAAAGAGAUACACCUGUGUGUAGAAAGUAGCCCCUGAGACUCUGCCCGGUUUCAAAGGAGCCAGACAGAGGAUCACAUAAUAUUCGGCAAAGGUAACAUUCUAUUAUACAACAGGCUUCCCUGCUGCCGGCGAGCGCCCAGUCGGCCGACGUUUCCGAACUCACUCAGAAGCUGUGGCUGGUUGAUGAAGAAGUUGUCCGCAUUAAUAGCGGUUGGAGGAGACACAAGGUAUGCGUACAUUGAGUAUAAGCCCCUGAUGUCUACUACACAACCUUCUUCUUGUAGACGUUGUUGGUCCUCCAAGUGCAGAUGUUUGUAGGACAGUAGAAAAUUUCCCUCAAGUGGAUGACCUAAGGUUUAUCAAUCCAUGGGAGGCGUAGGAUGAAGAUGGUCUCUCUCAAACAACCCUGUAACCAAAUAACAAAGAGUCUCUUGUGUCCCCAACACACCCAAUACAAUGGUAAAUUGUAUAGGUGCACUAGUUCGGCGAAGAGAUGGUGAUACAAGUGCAAUAUGAAUGGUAGAUAUAGGUUUUUGUAAUCUGAAAAUAUAAAAACAGCAAGGUAACUAAUGAUAAAAGUGAGCGAAAAUGGUAUUGCAAUGCUUCGAAACAAGGCCUAGGGUUCAUACUUUCACUAGUGCAAGUUCUCUCAACAAUAAUAACAUCAUUAGAUCAUAUAACAAUCCCUCACCAGGCAACAAAGAGUCACUCAAGAGUCACUAAUAGUGGAGAACAAACGAAGAGAUUAUUGUAGGGUAAGAAACCACCUCAAAGUUAUUCUUUCCGAUCAAUCCAUUGGGCUAUUCCUAUAAGUGUCACAAACAGCCCUAGAGUUCGUAGUAAAAUAACACCUUAAGACACAAAUCAACCAAAACCCUAAAGUCAUCUAGAUACUCCAAGGUCACCUAGAGUAUCCGUGGGUAUGAUUAUACGAUAUGCAUCACACAAUCUCAGAUUCAUCUAUUCAACCAACACAAAGAACUUCAAAGAGUUCCCCAAAGUUUCUACUGGACAGUCAAGACGAAAACGUGUGCCAACCCCUAUGCAUAGAUUCCCAAGGUCACGGAACCCGCAAGUUGAUCACCAAAACAUACAUCAAGUGGAUCAAUAGAAUACCCCAUUGUCACCACGGGUAUCCCACACAAGACAUACAUCAAGUGUUCUCAAAUCCUUAAAGACUCAAUCUGAUAAGAUAACUUCAAAGGGAAAACUCAAUCCAUUACAAGAGAGUAGAGGGGGAGAAACAUCAUAAGAUCCAACUAUAAUAGCAAAGCUCGCGGUACAUCAAGAUUGUGCCAAAUCAAGAACGAGAGAGAGAGAGAGAGAGAGAGAGAGAGAGCGAUCAAACACAUAUCUACUGGUACAUACCCUCAGCCCCGAGGGUGAAGUACUCGCUCCUCGUCAUGGAGAGCGCUGGGAUGAUGAAGAUGGCCACCGGUGAUGGAUCCCCCCUCCGGCAGGGUGCAGGAACAGGGUCCCGAUUGGUUUUUGGUGGCACAGAGGCUUGCGGCAGCGGAACUCCCGAUCUAGGUUGUUUUAUGGAGGUUUGGGGAUUUCUAGGAGAGGUUGGCAUCGAGAACAAGUCAAGGGGGCCCACGGAGAGUCCACGAGGCACAGGGGCGCACCCCAGGGGGGUGGACCGGCCCUCCACCCUCGUGGGUCCCACGGGACUCCCCUCCCGUAACUUUUCAUUCCAAUAUUUUUUAUAUUUACAAAAAAAAUGUCCGUUGAUUUUCAGCGCAUUCCGAGAACUUCUAUUUCUGCACAAAAACAAGACCAGGGUAGUUCUGCUGAAAACAGCGGCUGUUCGGGUUAGUUCUAACCAAAUCAUACCAAAAGCAUGUAAAAAUAUUAUAAACAUGGCAUGAAUACCUCAAAAAUUAUAGAUAUGUUGGAGACGUAUCAACAUCCCCAAGCUUAAUUCCUGCUCGUCCUCGAGUAGGUAAAUGAUAAAACUAGAAUUUUUGAUUUGGAAUGCUACCUAACAUAUUUAUCAAUGUAAUCUUCUUUAUUGUGGUAAGAAUAUUCCUAUCCAUAGAUUCAAAACAAAAGUUUAAUAUUGACAUAAAAACAAUAAUACUUCAAGCAUACUAAUAAACCAAUCAUGUCUUCUGAAAAUAACAUGGCCAAAGAAAGUUAUCCCUACAAAAUCAUAUAGUCUGGCUACGCUCCAUCUUCAUCACACAAAAUAUUUAAAUCAUGCACAACCCCAGUUUCAGCCAAGCAAUUGUUUCAUACUUUAGUAUUUUCAAACUUUUUCAACUUUCACGCAAUACAUGAGCGUGAACCAUGGACGUAGCACUAUAGGUGGAAUAGAAUGGUGGUUGUGGAGAAGACAAAAAGGAGAAGAUAGUCUCAGAUCGACUAGGCGUAUCAAUGGGCUAUGGAGAUGCCCAUCAAUAGAUAUCAAUGUGAGUGAGUAGGGACUACCAUGCAACGGAUGCACUAGAGCUAUAAGUGUAUGAAAGCUCAAAAAGAAACUAAGUGGGUGUGCAAACAACUUGCUUGCUCACAAACCUAGGGCAAUUUGAGGAAGCCCAUCAUUGGAAUAUACAAGCCAAGUUCUAUAAUGAAAAAUUCCCACUAGUAUAUGAAAGUUACAACAUAGGAGACUCUCUAUCAUGAAUAUCAUGGUGCUACUUUGAAGCACAAGUGUGGUAAAAGGAUAGUUACAUUGCCCCUUCUCUCUUUUUCUCUCAUUUUUUUUUUGUUUUUUUGGGCCCUCUUUUUUUUCUGGCCUCUUUAUUUAUUUAUUUUUUAUUUUUCAUCCGGAGUCUCAUCCCGACUUGUGGGGGAAUCAUGGUCUCCAUCAUCCUUUCCUCACUGGGACAAUGCACUAAUAAUGAAGAACAUCACACUUUUAUUUACUAACAACUUAAGAAUUAAAACUUGAUACUUAGAACAAAAUAUGACUCUAUAUGAAUGACUCCGGCGGUGUACCGGGAUGUGCAAUAAUUCAAGAGUGACAUGUAUGAAAGAAUUAUGAACAGUGGCUUUGCCACAAAUACGAUGUCAACUACAUGAUCAUGCGAAGCAAUAUGAAAAUUGUGAAGCGUGUCAUAACAAACGGAACGGUGGAAAGUUGCAUGGCAAUAUAUCUCGGAAUGGCUAUGGAAAUGCCAUAAUAGGUUGGUAUGGUGGCUAUUUUGAGGAAGGUAUAAGGUGGGUGUAUGGUACCGGCGAAAGUUGCGCGGCAUAAGAGGGGCUAGCAAUGGUGGAAGGGUGAGAGUGCGUAUAAUCCAAUCCAUGGACUCAACAUUAAUCACAACUAACUUACAUACUUAUUGCAAAAAUCUAUUAGUCAUCAAAAAAAGUACUACACACAUGCUCCUAGGGGAAGGGUUGGUAGGAGUUAACCAUCGCGCGAUCCCGACUCCACUCAUAAGGAAGACAAUCAAUAAAUAAAUCAUGAUCCAACUUCAUCACAUAAUGGUUCACCAUACGUGCAUGCUACGGGAAUCACAAACUUUAACACAAGUAUCUCUCAAAUUCGCAACUACUCCACUAGCAUGACUCUAAUAUCAUCAUCUUCAUAUCUCAAAACAAUUAUAAAGAAUCAAACUUCUCAUGGUAUUCAAUGCACUUUAUAUGAAAGUUUUUAUUAUAUCCCUCUUGGAUGCCCAUCAUAUUAGGACUAAAUUUAUAACCCAAGCAAAUUACCAUGCUGUUCUAAAGACUCUCAAAAUAAUACAAGUGAAGCAUGAGAGUUCAUCUAUUUCUUCCAGAUAAAACCACUAUCGUUCUCUAAAAAGAUAUAAGUGAAGCACCAGAGCAAACGACAAAGUACUCCAAAAGAUAUAAGUGAAGAUCAAUGAGUAGUCGAAUAAUUAUGUAACUAUGUGAAGACUCUCUAACAUUUAAGAAUUUCAGAUCUUAUGUACUUUAUUCAAACAUCAAGCAAAACAAAAUAAAACAAAAUGACGCUCCAAGCAAAACACAUAUCAUGUGGUGAAUAAAAAUAUAGCUCCAAGUAAAGUUACUGAUGAACAAAGAUGAAAGAGGGGAUGCCAUCCGGGGCAUCCCCAAGCUUAGGCUCUUGAUUGUCCUUAAAUAUUACCUUGGGGGUGCCUUGGGAAUCUCCAAGCUUAGGCUCUUGCCACUCCUUAUUCCAUAGUUCAUUGAAUCUUUACCCAAAACUUGAAAACUUCACAACACAAAACUCAACAGAAAACUCGUAAGCUCCGUUAGUAUAAGAAAAUAAAAUCACCACUUAGGUACUAUUGUGAACUCAUUAUAAAUUCAUAUUGGUGUUAUAUCUACUAUAUUUAACUUCUCUAUGGUUCAUACCCUCCGAUACUACUCAUAGAUUCAUCAAAAUAAGCAAAAAAACACAUAGAAAACAUAAUAUGUAAAAAACAGAACAGUCUAUAGUAAUCUGUAACUAUCAAAUACUUCUGUAAAUCCAAAAAUUCUGAAAUAAAUUGGUGGACGUUUGGAAUUUUUCUAUUAAUGUUCUGAAAAAAUAAUCAACUUAAAAGCACUCUUCUGUUAAAAAUGACAAUUAUUCUCAUGAGCGCAAAGUUUAUGUUUUUUACAGCAAGAUCGCAUUAACUUUCACCCAAGUCUUCCCAAAGGUUCUACUCGGCACUUUAUUGAAACAAAAGAUAUAAAACAUGAUUAAUACAAUAGCAUAAUCAUGUGGACACACAAAAACAGUAGGGGUAAAUGUUGGGUAGUCUCCCAACAAGCGCUUUUCUUUAAUGCCUUUUUAGCUAGGCAUGAUGAUGACAAUGAUGCUCACAUAAAAGAUAAGAAUUGAAACAUAACAGGAGCAUCAUGAAGUAUAUGACUAGCAAAUUUAAGUCUAACCCACUUCCUAUGCAUAGGGAUUUUGUGAGCAAACAACUUAUGGGAACAAGAAUCAACUAGCAUAGGAAAGCAAAACAAGCAUAGCUUCACGAUUUUCAACACAUAGAGAGGAAACUUUAUAUUAUUGCAAUUCCUACAAGCAUAUGUUCCUCCUUCAUAAUAAAUUUCAGUAGCAUCAUGAAUGAAUUCAACAAUACAACUAUCACAUAAAGCACUAUUUUCAUGGUGCACAAGCAUAGAAUUUUUAUUACUCUCCACAUAAAUUUUUUGCUUCUCAUGGAUAGUAGUGGGAGCAAACUCAACAAAAUAACUAUCAUGUGAGGCAUAAUCCAAUUGAAAAUUAAAAUCAUGAUGACAAGUUUCACAGUUAUCAUUCUUCUUUAUAGCAUACAUGUCAUCACAAUAAUCACCACGGAUAGCAACUUUGUUCUCAUAAUCAAUUGGAACCUCUUCCAAAAUAGUGGAUUCAUCACUAAAUAAGGUCAUGGCCCAAAUCAACUUUCAGAAUUAUAAUCAUCAUAGAUAGGAGGCAUGCUAUCAUCAUAAUAAAUUUGCUCAUCGGAAUUUGGGGGACCGAAAAUAUUAUGUUCAUCAAACAUAGCAUCCCCAAGAUUGUAGCUUUGCAUAUCAUUAGCAUCAUGGAUAUUCAAGGAGAUACUAACAACAUUACAAUCAUUCUCAUCAUUCAAAGAUUUAGUGCCAAACAUUUUAUUGCAUUCUUUGUCUAACACUUUGGAACAAUUAUCGGAGUCCUUAUUUUCACGGAAGACAUUAAAAAGCUGAAGCAUAUGUGGCAUCCUCAAUUCCAUUUUUUUGUAGUUUUAUUUUAUAAACUAAACUAUUGAUAAAACAAGAAACUAAAAGAUUCAAUUGGAAGAUCUAAAGACAUACCUUCAAGCACCAACCUCUUCGGCAACGGCGCUAGAAAAGAGCUUGAUGUCUACUACACAACCUUCUUCUUGUAGACGUUGUUGGGCCUUCAAGUACAGAGGUUUGUAGGACAGUAGCAAAUUUCCCUCAAGUGGAUGACCUAAGGUUUUAUCAGUCCGUGGGAGGCGUAGGAUGAAGAUGGUCUCUCUAAAACAACCCCACAACCAAAUAACAAAGAGUCUCUUGUGUCCCCAACACACCCAAUACAAUGGUAAAUGGUAUAGUUGCACUAGUUCGGCGAAGACAUGGUGAUACAAGUGCAAUAUGGAUGGUAGAUAUAGGUUUUUGUAAUCUGAAAAUAUAAAAACAGCAAGGUAACUAAUGAUAACAUUGAGCGAAAACGGUAUUGUGAGGCUUCGAAACAAGGCCUAGGGUCCAUACUUUCACUAGUGCAAGUUAUCUCAACAAUAAUAAAUAAUUAGAUAAUAUAACAACCCCUCAACAUGCAACAAAGAGUCACUCCAAAGUCACUAAUAGCAAAGAACAAAUGAAGAGACUAUUGUAGGGUACGAAACCACCUCAAAGUUAUUAUUUCUGAUCAAUCCAUUGGGCUAUUCCUAUAAGUGUCACAAACAGCCCUAGAGUUCGUAGUAAAAUAACACCUUAAGAUAUAAAUCAACAAAAACCCUAACGUCACCUAGAUACUCCAAUGUCACCUCAAGUAUCCAUGGGCAUGAUUAUGUGAUAUGCAUCACACAAUCUCAGAUUCAUCUGUUCAACCAACACAAAGAACUUCAAAGAGUGCCUCAAAGUUUCUACCGGAGAGUCAAGACAAAAACAUGUGCCAACCCCUAUGCAUAGAUUCCCAAGGUCACGGAACCCGCAAGUUGAUCACCAAAACAUACAUCAAGUGUAUCAAUAGAAUACCCCAUUGUCACCACGGGUAUCCCACGCAAGACAUACAUCAAGUGUUCUCAAAUCCUUAAAGACUCAAUCCGAUAAGAUAACUUCAAAGGGAAAACUCAAUACAUUACAAGAGAGUAGAGGGGGAGAAACAUCAUAAGAUCUAACUAUAGUAGCAAAGCUCGUGGCACAUCAAGAUCGUGCCAAAUCAAGAACACGAGAGAGAGAGAGAUCAAACACAUAGCUACUGGUACAUACCCUCAGCCCUGAGGGUGAACUACUCCCUCCUCGUCAUGGAGAGCGCCGGGAUGAUGAAGAUGGCCACCGGUGAUGGAUCCCCACUCCGGCAGGGUGACGAAAUAGGGUCCCGAUUGGUUUUUGGUUGCUAUAUAGGCUUGCGGUGGCGGAAUUCCCGAUCUAGAUUAUUUUCUAGAGGUUUGGGGAAUGAACAUGUCAGGGGGGCCCAUGGAGAGUCCACGAGUCACAGGGGCGCCCCCCAGGGGGGUGGGCAAGCCCUCCACCCUCGUCGGGCCCAUGGGACUCCCCUCCAGUAACUUUUUGUCCCAAUAUUUUUUAUAUUUUCCAAAAAAUAUCUCCGUUGUUUUUCAGUGCAUUCCGAGAACUUUUAUUUCUGCACAAAAACAACACCACGGUAGUUCUACUAAAAACAGCGUCAGUCCGGGUUAGUUCUAACCAAAUCAUACCUAAAGCAUGUAAAAAUAUUAUAAACAUGGCAUGAAUACAUCAAAAAUUAUAGAUACGUUGGAGACGUAUCAGUCCCCAAGAGGAAAUAUUUUGAUCAACAGACUAAGAAAUGUUUUAACUGUGCCCGCAGUUGGCGCCGAUGAGGUCGAGUCCCUGAACGCACCCUUGCCCAGGCCAAGAAGGUAGCAGAGGCGAGCAAGGCGGUCGCAGAGAAGCCGACCGAACGCUUAGAGGAGGAGAAGACCACCCGCCAGCAGCAAGAGGCACGGGUGUGUGAGGUUGAAAAAGAGGCCAAGGACGCUAUUGCUAGAUGUGAGUCCUUGGAGCAGAUGAGCUCGGAACAUGCCUUCGAGCUUGCCAAAGCCCAUGAGAGCCUGAAGGAAGCCCGGGCUGAUGCCCGGGACGCUCUCCAAGAAAUCCAGGAGGCGAGGAGUAUUGCGGCUGGUAAGGCCUUUAUUGUGGAGAGUAGGUAUACCAAUAGAAGAUAUAUUUUACUAACCCGAGUUUGGAGUUCUCCAGGCGCCUUUGCCGAUCUGCCAAGAAGCAUUGCGGACGCUGCCAUAUUCUUCCGAGCCGAAGAGGGAAGUUCUACGGAGAAACUAUACUGGUCGCAGUACCUAGCGCCGGAGCUUCUAGUGUCCCUGAGUGACCAGAUGAAGCAGUUGUCCGAGCUACAUACGAUGGCUGAUCUGGCCAUGAAGGACAUGGUAGCCCGUCUGUGGUCGGCCGAAGCCAUGCCUAGCAGCCACUUUGGGCUCGUGAAGAAACUUGUGGAGGCGCUCCCUCGGAUUGUUGCCCUUAAGCGGUCAUACUGUAUUGAGGAUUCUCGGAUGGCCUUUGCCCGUGUGAAGGUUUAGUGGGAGAAGAUGAAAUCCACCGAGGUUGCAACCGCAGGGCCACUUGAGGGCAAGGAACUGUGGCACCCUGGCUCAGAGCAACCGGUUUACCAUGCAUUGCCAGCCCAGACACCAUGUCUUCUGGCAACACACAACAUCUUGGUACAGAAAACAACCGCUUUAUUGAUGCUAGCAGAUCAAAGUUUAUAUUACAACAGGUAGCGAGGCCAAGCGGCACACACGGUGCGGCUGAACAAUAUGUACAUUAUUUAGUGAACAUAAAUGGUGCCUCGAUCAUCACAACUACACGGCAGCGGAACAACGUCAUAGCGGAACUCCAUAGCACAGGGACGCCGAUGUGGACAAUAUCUAGACUCGGACAGCACUCCUUUCCAACGAGACUUUCCUGAAAUCUGGACACGCUAGGUCAGUACAUCGAAUGUACUUGCAAGCUCACAACAAGCAUAAACAUAAUGACAAACAAUAUCAUGAUAAUUUAACCAAUUCAUAAUAAUGCAACAAUAUAUCCAACAUGCUGUGAACAUACUCUUGUGAUAAAAGUCCCUCAGACUACCUUACCAACGGUGAUCUCUCUUGGAUCACAGACAUACCAACCUCAAGGUAUUAACUAGAAACAUCUCGUGAUCAUUCCGGCGAUCACAACCACGACCAAUAUUUGGUCUUAAACGGUGAUCCCGCCGGCGAUCACAACGACGACCAACACUUGGUCUAAAACAAUAAGAUGACCUUUCCGCCAUCAUCAACAGUGCCAAGUUCAUAACUUAGUGUGCAAGAUUUAUUAAAUGUUGACCCAUGGUGUGACCUACUUUCAAGCGUGUCCAUAACCGUGGACUCGGCUAUCGAUAGAUUAAUACACUCUGCAGAGGUAGCGCACUGUACCCACACCACGGAACCCAUGGCCUCGCACUCCCAUUCGGGUGGACCAACGACAUUCCAACGAAACCCUUCCAUUGCCAUGACACUCUCCCGGCCACUCUGACUCACUCCCCACUAGGCUAGUCCUGGGUGGCCCCGUGUCUACCAAAGACACAAUGACCACCGUCGUGGCCAAAACAUAAACGAUCCCACACGGGGACCCCAUAAACUCAACAACGAGCACACAAGGUUAUGGCUGCUUACCGGGCCAGGGUACCGCACGCCCAUAACUUUCCCUCGUUGGAGGCACCGACCAGAGGCAUGACAACGGACCGAAUAAAGGCCUUCCCAUAAAGGCAAAUGUGGUUGCACUGGGAAAAAAACUUGAUUCAGUGGCACCAUUACCCGGUCAACAAUAUAUUCAAGUUGAGUUAUUAACAGUUUCAACUUAAUGUGAAAAUAACCGGUGUCAUAGCAUGCCAUGAAAUGCAACUCUAACAUGCAUCACAUAUCAAUGAAAAUGACUGAGUCAACUAUAUCCACACUAAGCAUAAUCAUCAGCAACUCAUGACACUUCUUUGGUUAAGAUUAAACCUCACUUUAUUCAGAAUCUUUUCUAGCAAAUUUUACCAUUUUUACUCAUGCAAGAAAAUAACUCCACUAAUUAUUUAUAUCCAUAACCAUAUUAUUCUUUUAAUCACCCAAAAUAAAUCAUAGUUUCUUUACCAACUAAGUUCGCCUCAAACUUUCUGUAAAUCAAGCAUAUUAAAUAAAACAAGCAAUUAACAGAAUAUAAUUAACAUAAUAGUGAUUUAAAUGCAUGGAUUAAAUCAUUCACUCAAGUAGAAAAUCACAAAUAUUGUAAUGGCACCAUGAAAAUGUUGCUGUGGCUUGCCUUAGUGCAGAUGAGGUUCACAAGCCUCCAGGUGAUCCUCAACACAAGCCUCACCCUCUGAAAAUAAUUAAAAGCACAAAAAGAAAAUAUCAAGAACCCUUUCGAAAUUCACCAGAAAAUCUAGACAGCAGGGAAAAAAAUCCCAUCUUUGGUGAGCUGCUAGAUUUUUGAACAAAGAACACAAUGCAAAAAGAAUCAAUUCAUUUGGACUUAUGGUUAAAAAGUUGUGGCUGUUUGAAUUUAAAUAAACAGACUGAGGGGGGGGGGGUGACGUCGAAGGCGUAAUGCCUCGGGGCGCCACCACUCAUACCGCUUCGCGCGUGUACUGAGUGGAUGACUAGCGGUCUCCGCUAGUCAGGUGAGGGGGAGAGAGAGAGGGAAACAGAGGACAGCACGGCUUCGUCGGAGCGCACGCCGGUGACAAGGGCUCCUUGGCCAGAACGAGAGGGAGGGAUCGAAAGAGGAGACGGAGGCGCACCUGCCCGUACUCAUAGAGUAGCUAGGGGUGGUCGAACGGCACCAGAAUCAGCCUCUCCUACGGAGGCAGAGAGCAGAGGUCACCGGAGACGAAGACGACGGUGAACGGAGGCGACUCCAGGGGCUCCAACCGGGCAGAACAACACCACCGACGAGCGGAGGAGUCCCUGGAAGAGUUGCCCUGGCCUGGGAGGGGCUGGAACCGCGGAGACAACCCGAGGGGAUCGCCGGCGAACUCGAGCUCGGGGACGGUGGCCCGCGGCCUGCCCGGCCGGGCUACGGCUUUCUACGUGCUUGUGGAGUGUGUGGGAGUGGUGGAUGGUGCUCGAGGAGGCUGGGGAGGGCCCUAUUUAUAGCCGAGCGUCAAGGGGGGUUCGGGCUCCGCCGGUGGACACCUGGCCACGGCACCCGGCAACGAACGACGUCAGUGAGAGGGGGUGAAGAAGACGCAGCUCACGCAAGAACUAUGGGAUAAAGGGGACGAGCAUAGGGGCGAGAGGAAGGUGACGAGCACAGUGCGCACUGCACUAUUGCGUUGGACGGACCGUGCCUAUGCCCGCUGCGGCGAGCUCCGGCGUUGGCGAGCGCCAGGGGGGAGCUAAAAAGGUCGAGACAAUGAUCAUGGUGAAGUUUGGUACGCUCAGGCAGGCGGGGAAGCGAGCAUGCGCGCAACAGAGCACUCGGCGGCACUCAGAGUGCGUCGGCUGCAUGCCUGCACACCUGGACGAACGCGGUCACGCUACAAAAAAAGACACAUCCGUGACAUUUUGGGCCGAACGAAUUUUUUUCUGUCAUACAUAUGACACUUCUAUGACGAUAAUUGUGACAAAACCCGGUAUCAUCAUAGAUGUGGUGGGCUCCUACUUCUAUGACAAAAAAUCAUGACAGAAAAUGGGCUUUUCAUCCUGGGCGGGCCGGAGACGCAGCUGCAUGACAUUCUUUGGGCCGUCCAUGACGGAAAAAACCAUGGUAGAAGCGAGGGGGAGGAUAAUUUUGGGGAGUUGCCGGUUACGGUGGAAGGUCGGGGGCGGAGCGAUGCGCGUUUCUCUCGUACGUACGCGCGUGUGUGCGAGGCGUUGGCUCUAACUGAACCCGAGCGAGGCGUUGGGCUCUAACUGAACCCAAGCAAUUGCACUGCACGCUACGCGUUACUGAACCCGAGCGAUCGAUCGAUGGCUGUUAACUGAACCCGAUGGAGCGAUUCCUUUGCUACUGCUGCUAACUGAAGCCGAUCGAUGCUGCCUCUAGGAUGAACAGUGAGCGUUGUGGGGGGGGGGGUUGGAUGAACAGUGAGUGGUGGCGUUGCCUCUGGAUGAACAGGACCUGUGGUGUGGAGGGCUGGAUGAAUAGUAGACGAUGGAGGGGUGGCCGUGGAGGGGUGGUUGAACCGGACCCUGUGGUGUGGAGGGCUGGAUGAACAGUAGACGGUGGAGGGGUGCCCGUCGAGGGAUGGUUGAACAGUAGCCGGUGGAGUAGCGCACGGUGGAGGGUGGAUGAAUAGGAGCCCGUGGAGGCUGGAGGAGGUCGACGGUAGCCCGUGGAGGCUGGAGGAGGUCGACGGUGGAGAUGAACAGUAUCUCGUGGAGUCCCGUUUUGUGGUACGCCACACCCCUCCCUCCCCACCCCCCGUUUCGACCAUAGCGCUCCAACACAAGUCCGUUUCGUCCGUUUUGCGGUACGCCACACCCCUCCCGAUGAACAGGACCCCCGUUUCGACCGUAGCCCUCCAACACAAGUCCGUUUCGUCAGUUUUGCGAUACGCCACACCCCUCCCGAUCAACAGGACCCCCGUUUCGACCAUAGGAGGUCCGUUUCCUCCGUUUUGCGGUACACCAGGCCCCUCCCGAUCAACAGGACCCCGUUUCUAACGUGGCCGGUCGAACACAAGGGUGUUUCCUUCGUUGUGCGGUAUGCCAGGCCUCGUUUCCAUCGCCUGUUCCGUCCAAGCCUUCCCAAUGAAGACGACCACGUAUUCCGUUCCGACCCAGCCGGUUGGCUCCCCAUGAACACGACGACGAUGCUGUUUCUCCGUUCCGACCCAGCCAUGUACGUAUGUGCGAUAGGCGUUAGAGACCCUGCCCGUAUGUACGUACGUGGCCGUAUUUUCUUUCUUGCACCCUCACCGCUGUACGUACGUGUACAUGCUACGUGCGCGCCUCUACUACGACACGUGCGCGCCUCUACAUCUACGACACGUACGCGCCUCUACAUCGACCAGUAUGUACGUACACGUUCGCGACCAGAAUGACAACGCUACGUACGCUUCGACCAGGUGGGUCCCGACUGUCAGGCACUUCCUUGCGUGCGAAGAUGUAGCUGGUGGGUCCCAGCAGUCAGGGGGGCGAAUCGUUUUUUUUGCCCGGACACACUUCCUUGUGUGCGAAAAUGUAGCUGGUGGGUCCCAGCAGUCAGGGGGCGAAUCGUGUUUUUGCCUGGACGCACUUCCUUGCAUGCGAAGGUGCAGCUGGUGGGUCCCAACAGUCAUGGGGGAAACAUUUCUUUCACGAAAUACUGUGGCCCGUCCGGUGGGUCCCAGCUGUCAGGUGGAGGAAUAAUUAUUUUCCGCGUAAUAAGGAGGCACUUCCUUGCUGCGGACGUGGACCCAGCUGUCAGCCUCUCCACAUACAGUCCACGUCUGAUGGAAGUUGUUCCUUGACCACGUUGACCACGCCGCGCCGAGAGCACCAGGGAGGUGGAUGACGGCGAGGCCUAGGAAGGGUACGCCGAGGAGCCGGGGAAGACGCGGCAGUGGAAGCCCGCGCGGAGAGGAGUACGAGGGUUCACUGGUUCGGCUGCGGUGUGAGGCUGCCGUCGCCGCAGGGCCUAGCCAGCGGUGGGAAUAGUAGGGGGCGGUGAGGCCUGCGCGACAGCACAUCCGGCCAUGGGAAGCAGGAGCAUGCGGCACGACCGACACUGCUUUGGGCGGCUGGAGCAAGAAGACCAGAGGUUGAAGAAGCACUACGGCCGUUGGAUGGACAUUGUACGGUCACUGGAGCUAGAAUCAUUUAUAUUGACUAUGUUGACAAAGCCCUUCAUCCCCGUCAACUUAGUAGGCCCACAAGUCAGCCUCCCAUCAAGGUGGGUCCCAGCUAGCAGGGGGUAUUCAUUUUUUUGUGCGUAAUAAGGAGGCACUUCCGGUGGGUCCGAGCUGACAGCAGGGGGAACGUUUUUUUCACGAAAUACGGUGGCCCAUCGGGUGGGUCCCAGCAGUCAGGGGUAAACAUUUUUUUUCGCAAAAUACUGGUGGCCCGUCUGGUGGGUCCCUGCUGUCAGGUGGAGGAAUAAUUAUUUUCCGCAUAAUAAGGAGGCACUUCCUUGCGGCUGUCGUGGACCCAGCUGUUAGCCUCUUCACGUACAAUAUUCUUCCGAUGGAAUUCGGUCGUUGACCACAUUGACCACGCCGUGCCGAGAGCACCACGGCGGUGGACGACGGCGAGGACUAGGAAGGGGAUGACACAGAGCCGGGGAAGACGCGGCAGUGGAUGCCCACGCGGAGAGGAGUACGAGGGUUCACUGGUUUGGCUGCGCUGCCGUCGCCGCAGAAUAACAGGUGGUGUGGGUGAGUGGAGUGGAGGGAUGGCCUGGCCAGCGGUGGGAGUAGUAUGAAGGCGGUGAGGCCUCCGCGGCAGUACAGCCGCCCACGAGAGGCAGGAGCAGGCGGCACGACCGGCGCUGCUUUGGGCGGCUGGAGCAAGAAGACCAGAGGUUGAAGAAGCACUAUGGCCGUUGGAUGGAUAUCGUACGGUCACUAGUGCUAGAAUCGUUUAUAUUGACUAAGUUGAUAAAGCUCUCCGUCCCCGUCAACUUAGUAGGCCCACAAGUCAGCUUCCCACCAAGGUGAGCCCCAGCUAGCAGGGGGAGUAUUCAUUUUUUUGUGUGUAAUAAAGAGGCACUUCCGGUGGGUCCGAGCUAACAGCCGGGGGAACGUUUUUUUCGUGAAAUACGGUGGCCCGUCCGAUGGGUACCAGCAGUCAGGGGGGAAACGUUUUUUUCCGCGAAAUAAGGUGGCCCAUCCGGUGGGUCCCUGUUGUCAAGUGGAGGAAUAAUUAUUUUGUGCGUAAUAAGGAGGCACUUCCUUGCGGCCGCCGUGUACCCACCUGUCAGCCUCUCCACGUACAGUACUCUUCCGAUGGAAGUCGGUCGUUGACCACGUUGACCACGCCGCACCAAGAGCACCAGGGCGGUGGACGACGAUGAUGCCUAGGAAGGGGACGACGCGGAGCCGGGGAAGACGCAGCAGUGGAAGCCCGCGCGGAGAGGAGUACGAGGGUUCACUGGUUCGGCUGCGGUGUGAGGCUGCCGUCGCCGCAGAAUAACAGCGGGUGUGGGUGAGUGGAGGGAUGGCCUGGACAGCGGUGGAAGUAGUAUGGGGGCGAUGAGGCCUCCGCGGUAGCACAGCCGGCCACGGGAGGCAGGAGCAGGCGGCACGACCGGCGCUGCUUUGGGCGGCUGGACCAAGAAGACCAGAGGUUGAAGAAGCACUACGGCCGUUGGAUGGACAUCGUACGGUCACUGAAGCUAGAAUCAUUUAUAUUGACUAAGUUGACAAAGCCCUUUGUACGCUCCAACUUAGUAGGCCCACAGGUCAGCCUCUGAAAUGGUGCACCCCAGAUGUCAGGGGGAGGAAUCAUUUUUUGGGCGGCCGAAGCUAAGAAUAUCCGAGAUUGAAGAAGAAGCACGACAUCCGUUGGAUAGACAUCCAACAGCCACUGCUACUAGAACCGUGUGUUGACUAUAAUAAGUUGACAAAGCCUUGCAUAUGCGUCAACUUAUUUUUUUUAGGGGACGCGUCACUUAGUAGGCCCACAAGUGUAUGGCAGAGAACUUAUAGCCCAUUUGCGUUUUGUAAGAAUGUACAUCCCAUUUUUGAAUUCUAAUGGAAUUUACAACAGCGCAUUUACAGUUUGUUAAAAGUACAACCCAUUUUCUAGUUAGGACAACGAUUAAUAAUUUCAACCAACCGUUGAAGACAAAAUUCAAUAAAAUUUCCCACAUUUUUAUGGGAUCCGAAAUAUUUUUAUCCCAAAAUUUCUAUUCAGACUAAAUAUAAAUUUGUAUUACGUAAAAAUCCAACAAAACAUUCCGCGCGCAAUAAUGAAAAUUUAAGAUUUUCAAAAUCCAUAAAUAAUAUUUUAUAAACUAAUUUCGUGUUUGGUGCAUUUUUUUAUAGUUACUGCCCAGUUUUUAUAAUUACAUCCCAUUUAUUAUUAAAGCCCAUUUUCCUAUUAAGCCUAAUGCAUCCCUCCUAGGAAAAAUUUGCAGCACAGCGGGGCGGAGAAUAACAAGUUGACCUUGCCUAGGUAUUCCUCAAAAAGACGUAUAGCUGGGCUACCCAUUUUCACCUUGAAAAAAGUAGUAUCUGGGCUGGAUAUCUGGCCUGGGCUAGACGGGCCACAGCCCGCCCAGUUAAUACCCUGCUCUCCUCUGAACAACAACGAAAUCAUCGCCAAGAAAAACUCUGCAGUGCUCACACCUCCAAAACACAAAUACUGCUCGAGCUGCUUGGUCCCAGCUGUCGACCGCACCUUGUGCAAUUCUCUCGUUUAUAUUGACUACAUAGGUUGACAAUGGUGUUGGACCGUGAUGUCAGGAAACCAGGAGAAAGCAAAAAAAAAUAUAGUUGUACAUAAUAAGGAGGCACUUGCGUACGUACGGCUAUGGCCCUAGUGGGUCCCUAGUGUCAUCCAGUCAAAAUAAAGUCAUCUCCUGAAUCCUCAUGUUCGUUGACCAUGUUAACAAUGCUCGGUGCCACGGCGAGUGCAACAACUCGAAGGACAACGGAGAGGGCCUCGCGGGCCUUACGGAGGUCUGAUACAGCGCCCGCUGCUCAUUCAGGAAGCCAGGAUCAUCGGACACCUAUGACCACCUUCGAGAAACUAAGACGACAUGAAAUGGUAAGGCCGCGCUUGGGAGCUCUGGUUUAUUUCAAACCUGUAUUAACAUACAAGUGUAAUUUACUCGUCAUCGGAAGGCCCGAGGUCUGUAAGUAAAACCGGCGGGUUACGCGUGUAAUUUGAGGGACUAGUGUAUCUUUUACGAGCAUUGCUAUAUGGACGAUAUUACCAGACGAUACAUGCACGAUGUGCGUAUCAUGCCAUGCAUGGGCAAGGCUGAAACAGCACCUAACGGCUGGAUUAGCAAUCGUCCGAGUGUCGUUCAGCGUUUUUCUCAUGUGUGAAGUACUUCUGAUAUUUUACUAGUCAAAAUCGACUAACCAAGUGCCUUCGCCCGGGACCAUCUGCUUUAAUUUACAAGUGUCAGUUUAACAAGCGGUUUUGGUUGGAAAACGACGAUCCAAUCACGGCCUAAUAUCAUGAGUUGGUUGGAAGAUCAUAUGGUUUCACGUCUAACCUACCCGACAUGUCGUAUAGGCUAUGAAUGAAACAUCAGACGAUGAACUUCUUACGCACGGAAACAACAGAAGAGGAUGAUCUUCUUAACAAGCAAAUCACUGGCAUUAGAUCGACAUGCAAAACAAUACGAAGCAUUAUUCUCAGGAGGCACGGUGAACAGCUCGUGACGCCGCAUGCCACAACAUUCCAAGCUCAACUUUGCAAUCGAACACAAGGCCUGGAAUUACAUAGACAAUAUUCAGAACAAACUCUUAACACAGGAAUAUCUCAGCAGAGUAACUAUUUACUUCUAAAUUGAACACAGGAAUAGGAAAAAACACUCGACGCUGCUCACAGCAAGGGCGUCCCACUCAAAAAUAUCAAAUGCAUGUCUUCUGGCUAACAUUAAUGAGCAAAUUUUGACAAGAUUUUCCAAUUCCAAUAUAUUGAACUAACGUCUUGUUGCAAACAUCAAUGAGCAAAUUUUGACAAGGUUUUCCAAUUCCAAUAUAUUAAACUAACUUCUUCUUGCUAACAUCAAUGAUUAAACUUUGACAAGCUUUUCCUAUUCAAAAUAUGUAAUGCCUAUGAUCGUGUCCUGUCUUAGCUUCUUGUACUUGUUUGGGCACUUUUUGCCCAAGGCACUCCACGUGUUGUUAAAUUGCCAAUGGUCUCUGCAGACUAGUCAUGUCACCGGUGUCUAAUAAUACUCUAUAAAGCUUCUCGGUCAUUCCUUCUGUAAUGGACCGCAUCCAGUGAAUGCUUCUUUCUGCAAAGUAGAACGACCAACUGGACCCAGUAACGCAGCAGUUUGCCUUGGACACAUUGGCUCCUUUUGUGCAGUUCAACUAAAAUCGAAGUCAGAAUAAAACCGAGCUUUAAUUUUGAGAUCCCUGUAAGCAACAAUAGGUAUAAGGGAAACAAUUACUGAAAAAUAACGGUUGUUGACUUGCCUUAAUGGGAAACAAAGGAGGAGAGGAGCAAUUCUCCAUCAAUGUGAUUCAUUCAUAUUGACUGAGGCAUUAUCUUAACAAUGCCUUGGUUAAACAUGUAUAAAGAACGACAAAGCAGAAAAGUACCAUUCCUAAAACAAUGCAACUGAUUCAUUUUUAAAGAGACAUUAUCUUAACAAUACCUUGGUUAAACAUGUAGAAAGAACUACAAAGUAGGAUAGUUCCAUUCCUAACAAGUGUUGCAGUUUUGAACUAAGAUUCAAUAGUUAAUUAAUUCUGAGAGUGGCAUUGCUUAAUUUUACCAGCGGCAUUAGAUUAACGAAAAGCAUAAACAGUUCCAGGGGAGAGUGGGCGCAACAACAAUAUGUGCUUCCAUCUACUUAUAAAGGGGGUGAUGCAGAGUUUGUUGUAACAAAGCAACAAGCAUCAUGUCUAGGUUGGUCCCAUUUUUGUUCACUACUUAAUGGGAAAAGACAGCAAUACAAUAGCUUCAAUUCAACAUUUAUUUAAAACAGUACCAAUACAAGUAGCACAACAUCUCAAAGCACACUGCACAAUCAUGUGGGUGAAGGCCUGUUGACCUUUCAUGAGAACACCAGGAUAAAAUAUGAAUCCGCUAACACGAAUAGGAAAUCCAAUCUCAUUUUGUGCAGUUGCACUGAAAUCAAGCAAAGUGUUUCGCGUAGCGAAGCAAAAUGUCGCAAUAGCAACAAGUUGAAUACAUAUCAUGUAGUAGAGACCAAGAUUUGAAACAACUCGACAGGAACAAUGGAAACAAAUCUCGAUCUCCUUUUGUGCAGUUCCACCAAAAUUAAGCAAAGUCACCGGUGUGACAUUCAAGUUGAACUGCACAAAACACUCUUAAAACAUAAGUGUUUCGAGUAGCGAAGUAAAAUGUCGCAAUAGCAACAAGUUGAAUCGAUACCCCUGUUUUAACAGAGGCAAAAAAGGAAACAAUUACUUGCCGAUAAAGGAGGAUGAAACAAACGGUGACAGAAAGAAGCAUCUAACUUAUCUUGGAUGGAAACAAAGUAGGAUAGUAGCAUUUCUAAAACGGUAGCAUUGAUUCAUAUUAACAGAGACACUCUCUUGAAACAACAUUCGUUAAAAAAUGUACUUUACUUUUAACUGUGGCAUUGCUUCAAUUUUCCGGCGGCAUUCUAGGGCCUGUUUGGUUCCAAUAAGUCACCAGUGACUUAUAAGUUAUGCAUGUUUGGUUGUCACCUGACUUAUAAGUCAUCUGACAUACCUUCCCACACCAAUCAACAUCAUGUAGCUGGUGGGACACACGUAAAAGGGGGUGACUUAUAAGUUUUAAGUUGGGGUGGAGCAACUUAUGACUUAUAAGUUAGGGUGACUUAUAAGUCGGGUCUGUUUGGCAAAAUAAGUCACUUUUUUCACUAUUCGACUUAUAAGUUGGUGACUUAUUUGGAACCAAACAGGCCCUUAGAUUAACAACAGCAAAAUAGCUGUAUGGCACAUGCUAGCACCAUGUGCGUCCACACGUAUAAAUGGGUGAUGCAGAGUAUGUAGCCAAGCAACAUAUCUGUGUUGCUCCCAUAUUUGUUCUCUUUGAACUUUUUUCCUAUGUGAGGGUAGCAAAUCUAGUCCUGCACAAACUAUCCGACCCCCCCCCCCAGUUUCUUUCCCUUUUCAACAAAGAGAUCGGUUCCUUACAGAUGUGUGUACUGGGUUACCCCCUUUUUCCCUUUUCGACCAACAAAGCGGCUGGAUAGCCAGUUUAUACUACUUUUCCUCCCUCCUUUCCUCAUUGAACCACGUCCUAGAUUCAUGCUCCACCCCACCGCACCUUUCUUUCCUCUUUGAACCAAGACCUAGAUUCGACUACAGAUCGAAAAAGAUCCACAUGUAGCUAGAGCAACGAUGGUUUCAAAGAAAACUUAUACCUUAGGGUCGUCGGGAUGUGGAAAGGCGUGCGGUGGGAGGCCGGAUUUGCCCACACUACGUACGGAAGCGAGGAAGAAGGGGUCGGUGGCCCUCCCGCACAGGCGCUGGGUGAAAGAGAACAGCGCAGCCGACAGUGGAUUGCCUCCCUCGCCGAAGGCGAUAGAGUUAACGUUGCACCUCCUCCCCUUCCCGGUGCGACGGGAUACGGAUGCCUCCUUCACCAGCUGUGAGGGGGAAAGAGACAAGAGGCCAAUGCAGUCUUGUUUAGAUCUGGUGAAGAGAGGGUGAGAGACUGUGAAUAUAGCAAACCCUAGCAAAUGAAUGCUGAGCCUCCAGCGUGUAACAUAUAUGUAUUGCGGCGAGCGUGUGGAGAGUGCAAACCCUAGCGAACAAGCGAUGAGGCUCCCGCUUAUAUAUAUACUAAUGUAGUACGGACUGAGCUCCAGUGCCUUCACUCCAUGUGCUUUUGGUUGUAUGACAGGUGAGCUAGCCACAUUUUGGGCCCACCUGUCAUAAACCCAAAGGCAGGUGCACUAAGUCAAUGAAGCUGCGUCCAUAUAGUACUCUCGUGUGUAUACGACAAAUAUAUAGUGGAGUAGUUUUCUUAUUCUCUCCAUAACAAUCGUUUUAAAUUGUGUAAGUACGAAACAAAACUCUUUAUUUAAUGUACAGAGGGAGUACUACUUCUGAUGAACUAACGAUCCACGCCCACGCGUCCUGGUCACACUUCCUGUCCUUCACGUGUGGUACACUACCCUCCCUUAAGUGAACAACCACACAUGCGCCAAAUUAUCGGAAACGUGUGACAGUUUGUACAAAUAAAGAAUUUUAAUUUCAAUUAUCGGAAAGGUUUGAGAGUAUUACAAAGUUUGACUUUAGUCAAAUCUAAUAUGCAGAGUAAAUAAAAAUGGAGGGCUACUACGUCCAUCCGGGUUUUUAGUACACACUAUUUUUUAAAUCAAAGUUAAUAGCUGGACAAAUAAAAUUACAGGGGAGCUGGAGACAAAGUUGUGAGAAGGCUUAGAAAUCUAUACUACCUCCUUUCCAGUUUAUAGGGCUCAAUUUAAAAAUCUCACCAACCAAGAUAGAUGAUGAGUGGUGGAAUAAUUUUCGUGGUUUGUAAAAUCACUCAAUUAAUGCGCUCAUUUUCCUCAAAGAAUUGUGUUUACCAAUGCAUUAUUUGCAAUGCAUGCAUGCAUGGAGUACAUGCAUUGGUCAAGUUUCUCAUAAUACUUGCAUGCAAUGAAUUAAUGCACCUUGAAAUCUGAGCAUGUGAUGAGGAACAAUCAAAUUGAGACUUAUAAAAUGGGAAACCAAAUUUUUUGAGAUAAGCCCUAUAAACCGGGAAGGAGGGAGUACAAAACUUAUGCUCUUAGUACCAACGUCGAUCCUUCUUCGAGGAAACAUUUGGUUCAUAGCCAAUUGUGUGAUAAAAUUGCUCCAACGUGAAAGACGACUGCGUCUCCAAGGUGAACUGACGAAGGAUAUCAUCUUUGUGCGUAACAAGCAAAGAGCACUGAUGGAAGACAGCGUGUUUUUCAUUUAAAAUCAAUCAGCUUCACCAGCCGACGCAACCAUGAGGCGCGACCAUGAGCAUCGAUAGUUUGUGGUCUAUUUUUUUUGUCCUAGUUUUUUUGUUUCUUGUUGCUACAUUAUAUACUUGUGGGAGCUUAGAUGUGAUAUCCUUAAAUAACAUCUAGAUGUGAAUUGGACAAACUGAUUUUCUAACGUACCAAGAAAUAAAACUCGAUCAAAAACACGCCCCCGCUUCCAGGUCGCGAGAGUCGUCACACACACACACAUAGACAUAGACAUGCAUAUCCGUGUUUACGUAAAAUUCCAUUUCCAUCUCCAUCUCCAAUCAUAUUUGUCCAACUGGCACGUUAUUCACGUUGUUAAUUAUAUACGCAGCAAUAUUAACGUACAACAUCUCUUGUUUGCGCACGUCCGGACCGCUGCCACGGCCGGUCCUGACCAACCCGAACCCUCUUUAUCACCCGCGUGUGCUUCCCGCCCGAAACGGUCAGUGCCGCAUUCAUGCCCGGCUAGAGCGGACGCGACCUCUCACUGGCGCCGGCAUUGAAGCGACACGCCGGCCGAGAGAGCAUCGCCCGUGCCGCUUCCGGGUGCACGCGGCUGCUCCGCGUUCAAAGGUCGCAAUAGCAGGCUACAACAUGCAUGUAAAAAGUUUUUGGGAGUCCGUGCUACAGCUAGCUGUCCUCCCCCAACUCGUCAAUCUCUUCCAGUAGUGCUAGUAGUACUCCAUGGCGUGACCCAUCGACUAGCAGGCGGGAAAGUUAUCGUAUACUCGGUAUGCGGUGAGUGGCAUGCCGAGCGACAAUGUGGGGUCGAGCCGUGGAGGAGGGUGAGACACGAACACGACAGACGUGAUUUACUGUGUGAUUUGACUGCUCCUUAGUGGCCCCUACACGUACUCCCCCUACGUGUAUGCAACAGUCACACGUACACAUGGACGCAAAAACGCGCGCGACGUCCUAAUGCAUGCAUGUCCGAGCACAUGACGGAACACACACGGUCACGCUAAGUGCUCAGCCUACAUGUGCAUGCACACACAUACUCAGUCAGGGUGAGCUAGUGACCGUAUAAACACCGGAAUAUAUAUAUAUUGAGCACAAUGAGCGUAUUAUGAAGUCCACUGACCGUAUUUUUACAAAUAUACAGUGACAGACCGUGUAUUUAUCUCGUUUGAAAGUAAUCCAUAUUAACCGGAGAGGAGGCAGUAUGGACUAGCAUUACUUGCGCGCGGUGGCUCGCAGGACAAGGAGAAACUUUUGACUAAUGCAAGCUCUCCCUCGCUCAGGCGGUGGACGUGCAACAGUUAAUUCGAUGUCAGAUUGCCAGAAGCAUACACUAUACUACUAGUUCUACUAUUGUUCGACUUCCCGAAUAGGCGAACAACCAAGCGCAAAGUUUACUAAUAUAGUCUAUAUAGGUACGUACUAUACUAGUACUAGGAACCGGUUGGAGGAGCGUCUGCACUCUUAUUGUAAUUUUAAAAUGUGAUAAAGCAAUCUUCAACACAUUUGGUUAUCUUCGAGGGUUCUCGCAUGUGAUAAUGGAAGUUGAUUGCAUGGAACACUCGCCCCAAUUCUCGCUUAAUUCUGGCUCAUAUCCUGUUACAAAUAGUAGCGCUCGGUAAUAUUUCAUCUUUUUUUGUUAUUCAGCAUGUAAGCAGGUCAGCAAACCUUGCGGCGCAUCUUCGUGCGAACCGUGCUUGCUGCACUUUGAAUGUGGCCGAGAGCUGGCUUGAUGAAACACCUCGCUUCCUACUUCUUUUUUUACGGGGUACCUCGUUUCCUAGUGACCAGUGUCUUGGUUGAUCGUCCUAAGAAUGCUUAUAUAUGAAUAAAGCUCUCUCAUUUACCUGCAAAAGGGAUUGAGACAUAUUAACCAGAAAGGAGGGAGUAUGGACUAGCACUACUUUUUGGUGUGUCCCGUCAACUCGCGGAACGAGGAGAAGCUUGCAGGACAAGGUGAAGCUCUCUUACGCCUUUUGACUAAUGCAACCUACCCUCAGUCCAUUCGGUGUCAGAUUGUCAGAGGCAUACACUGUAGUACCCAACAUGAGGAGUACCAUCAUUGUUCAACUUCACGAAGAGGCAAAGAGCCAAGCGCAGUAGUACGAGUAGUACUACUACUAGAACCGCAUGGUGGAGCGUUUGUACUCGUAUUUCUUUUUAUCUCUGAUAAAGUACACGUUUAUUCCGGAGAAGGGCGGAAAACGGCAGCCCAACAUCAACUUGUAAUGAAUGAUAUCGAUCAACCAACCAUGCUCGAAUAUAUCUUGGCCUCCAUGCGAACCAGUUUGUGUGUUCUCGCUCCUCGUCUCUCUCAAGGAACGGCGGGUUGGCUCUUUGCCAUCAAUUGAGAUCGGUUUGCUCACACUCCUGUCCCACAUGUCAGUGACAUGCCAAGAGGAGGUGCGUUGACCGACUGGCCAUACGCGUACUUGGUUUUGAACCUUCAUACUACUCCUCCCUCCGUCACAGUUUACAGGGCGCGCUUCAUUAUGAUGCAUUUCUCUCAAUGCAUUUCCACCACCAGAGAGACUUUAGACGCGUUUGGUUUAAUGCUCAAUUAAUUAGGGCAUGGUAACCGCAAUCAAGUCCACAAUUUUCUCUCCAUGUAACUACGGAAUGGAGUAAGUGCAUGCAUGUGUGUACCUGGGGUGUUAGCACUGCAUGCAUGUGUGUACGCAUUAUUCUCUCUACUAGUAAUAGACGCCGUGCUAUAACUACCAAUGCUAUUUUUCAGGCCGAUCGCUAGUCGCCUUGGUCCCACAGAUCUUUUUUCUUUUUUCUGAAGCGCGUUGUAUAAACAGUGACAGAUGGAAUAGUAUGAGCUGAUUCAAAGAAGAGCGUAUUGAUGGUUGCUUCUUCAGAGCAACUUACAGUGCGAAAGGUGGGGCUUACGAUUUGACUGCUCAUUACUCACUAUUAAUGCGGCGGAACGACCGGGCUGAGUCUCCCAUGCGGUUGUGCCCUACCCCCUCGGUUCUUAAAUAUACUCCGGAGUAUGUUUGUCUUUCUAGAGAUUUCAACAAGUGACUACUCAAAUAUUUGUCUUUUUAGAGAUUUCAAAUGGUCUGGCACAUACAGAUGUAUAUACAUAUUUUAGAGUGUAGAUUCUCUCAUUUUGUUCCAUAUGUAGUCACUUGUUGAAAUCUCUAGAAAGACGAAUAUAAUAUUUAGGAACGGAGGGAGUACACAUAUGAAGCAAAAUGAGUGAAUCUACACUCUAAAAUAUGCCCGUUUGAAAUUUGUAAAAAGACAAAUAUUUAGGAAUGAAUGAGUAUAAUUUUGUGCAUGGCACAUGGACCCGGAUGAUGAAGAGGCUUCUGGCAAUGCUAUCAAGCUUCCAUCAUUUGUUUACAUAAUUGAGAUACUAUACAAAUAAUUUUCUAGCAAGACAUGAAAUUGUACAAUGGUGUGAGCUUUCAGCUUCUGUUUCGCGUGUCUUGCCAUUGAUGCUCUUUCGGAAACAAUAAAAAACUAACUUCCUUGCUAAUGCAUGUCAAUUAUUAGCACAUCAGAGCUAAUAAUUACAUCACAACUGAAGACAGAGUUGUGAGAAGGUGUUAAAUUAAAAUUUAUCCAUGCUUUCAUUGGCAGAAACGUCCCCCAGCUCUGUCUAAAUCAACAAGGCAUGUUGGGAAAAAAGUAGCUGUCUGGAGCAUGCAACAUUCCAAUCAUUUUGUGCAGUUCCACUAAAAUAGAGCUGAGCGUCCCUGUUCCAAAGAUAUUAAGUGUGAUUACGAUAAUAGAGGACUGCUGAUGAAACAAUAAACACAUAAAUAGAAGCCGGUCACCUUUGCAGUCUCUUUUAAGACUAACUAGUUGGAGAAGAUUAGGCUCGGAGUUGGAUGAGGAGGAUAGAGCAAAACCAAUCUCCCUUUGUGAAGUCGCACUGAAAUGUAGAGAUGUUGCCCAUGUGACAUUUUAGUAUAACUGCACAAAACACUCUUAAGAAAAAAGUGAUUUGUGCAGUUCACCAAAAGGUCACAAUAGCAACGAGGUGAAAUGGAUAGCCCUGUUUGCAAAAACGAGGUAGAAAGGAAACAAUUAUUGGCCAAUAAUAGUUGAUAACACAUGCGACGACAAAAAAGAAGCAUAUUCCUUGCCCUAAUGGAAGAUAACAACACGGUUGUGUUUGUCUAAAAUGGUGUGAGGACGAGAAUGCAAUAUGGAAAGUACGCUGGACGAGCUACGUUUUGGGCAAAGAACUAUAGAAGAUCCACAUGUAGCGACGUGGGAAGACGGCAGUGGAGCAAGGCCGGAGGGGAUACCUGGAGGUCGUCGGGAUGUAACUAGGUGAGCAGCGGCGGCCGGAAUCUGCGAGCACGUGGCGUAGGCCCUGCCGUGCCGGAGCUUGGUCAGAGAGAACGGCGUGUACCGCAGAUUGGGACGUGCUGCCUUGGUGCCGUUGAACGGAGAAACGAUGCACUUCCUCCCUUUCCCCCAGUGGACGGGAUGCGGCCGGAUCAGAACGGUGAGAAAGAGAGAGAGAGGCCACUGCACUCCCUUUCCCCCGGCGGAUGGGAUGCGACUGGAUCAGUGACCAACGAUGAGAGAGAGAGAGGCCACCGCAGCCUUGUGUGACAUACUCUGAAGAUCGACAAACCAGGCACGCAAGGCUCCAUUGUAUAUAGUGAGAGGACUACCUUUUUCUCCAUAAAAAUCAUUUUAUAUUCUGUGUACGUGCCAUUGAGCGCUAUAACUUUAUUUAAAAAUAACGCGGCAACGCGUCAAGUCGAACUUUGUUUCGUGCAUGCGUGGUACACGACCUCCCUAGGUAAACAACCGCUACAGGCGUUCAAAUUAGCACGUGGGCUACCAUUUCGUAAAUAAAUGAGCUCCACCGUGUACCCGCGCGGGUGUGGCUGGGCACGAAGCAUGAGUACGUGCACGGUGCACCUAUUCUCUUCUUGUAUACGUACACCACCUACGUGGGGUUGUGUGAGAGAGAUACAAACCUAGAGAGAUAUAGUGUGUGGGUUCUUGAGAGUUUUUUUUGAGGGGGGAGUUCAAUCAAAAAAUGUAACAUACACAAUGUGUGUGAAAUAGAGUCCUGGAUAUAACAUAUAUAUAGAGGGGGUGAUCCACGAGAAGAGAGUGGAGGUAUCACCGGCUUGAGGUGUCCAUAGAAUCGAAAAGAGGGAUGAUGUGUGUGUGUGUGCACACGCGAUCGAUAAAGAGUGCCAUCGAAUUUGUGUGUGCCCACGUCAAAGAUAUAGAGUGGCUGGCCUACUGGAACGUGAGAGGGGACAUGUGCAGUUUGUCUCUAUGGCAUGGAUACCUACCUGCAGCGCUCGACUAUCGGUGUGUGGUGGGGGAAGAGGGAGGCCCAAUUAACUAUAGAGGUACAAUGGCUGGUAUAUGUGUGUAGGAGGAGAGAGGCCUACCUCAUGUAUUAAGGAGAUCGAUCUGCCUCAUGUAUUAAGGGAGAUGGAUCGGCAUCCAUGCAUAUGUUGGAGGGGGUGGUAGUGGAGUUGCUUCUAACAAGUGGUGGGAUAGGCUUGCUAGACAAACGGAGGGCACGCCCGCAAUAUCAAUAAGAGAUGAGAUGUCUGCUUGUUGUCUGUGCACGUGCGUGUGAGAGACGGGUCAGGAGGCAUGCACGAAUGAUGAGGGGGGACGAUGUGGCUGUGGUAAGCAGACAUAACUACAUAGGAAGAUCAAUCGCCCUUUGUUAGAGAAAGGAGAGACAUAACUUGUGAAGUACGUCGAUCGAUGGGGGGGUAGUUAAAGUCGAUCCAGGUAUAUGUUGGGAGAUCGAUCGGUAUACAUGCAUGUGUGUGUUAGAAGCAAACGAGGCACGAGGAGAAGGAUAGAUAUAGAGGGAUGCAUGUAGGAGGUGGUACGAGAGGCAUACUAUAUCGAGCGGGGAGGAGUGUGCGAGUACGAGAACAAUGAAAAGAGUGGUGGGAGUGAGGCAUGGACGGUGACAAGAGAAGAGGGGAAGCUUGUGUUUGUGCUAGGCACACCUGGCUAGAGAGGCAUAUCGAUCGAUGUGUGCCGUAAAGAAGGAGCUAGGGGGCCUACACACACCAUGGGGUGAACGACCUAAAGUGAAAAGAUGAAUUUGCACGAUGGAGCUAGAGAAUGCUGAGGGAGGGUGAGAGGGACGCGGGCGUGUGCAUGCACAAGAGAAAGUUAGCGCUAGCUACAAAAAUAAGAGGGUUGUGUGGGUGUAAAAGACGAAUAGAGAUCAUAUAUACUUCAUUAUAAAAAGCGAAUUCGGAUAUUUGAAGAAUUUAUCAAAGUGUUUUAAACCGACGUAUGUGUGAAUAUAUAUAACGGUGAUACACAUGGUGUGUUUAUGAACAUGUUAUACUACAUUUAAUAUAUUUUAUCUCUACUCUUAUAAAAAACGGAGUUGUUGAUGAUGGUGUGCCUGCCAUCCUGCAUUAUAGGUCGUCCGAUUUAUAUCUAGCGGAUAGCAAGGAAACUAUGAUGGUUGAAGUUGGCAACAACCAUGAUCGUGGAUUCUUAUUGAAAUAGAGAAACAAAUUCAAAUUUAGUUCGAAUUGCAGCGGUAGUAUAGACAUUUGGAAUGCACUAAAUAGUUUGGUAUGAGUAGGUUACAUGCAUUAUAUAGCAAAGCGAAAAAAAUUAAUCGGACAUAACAUGGAUUCAUACUCCCUCCUUCCAUCUAUAUAGGGUGUAAUGAUAUUUUUAAGACCUCCUUUGACUAUUGACAAGAUUAAUAGUACAUGACAUGCACAAUGUGAAAAUUAUAUCAUUGAAAGAACCUUUCACAGAUGAAGUUAACGGUGUGCUUUGUGUAAGUUCCAUGUCAUAUAUCAUUGCUCUAAUAUUUGGUCAAAGUUAGCAUCGAAAAACGCAUUAGGCCCUAUAUAGAUGGAAGGAGGGAGUAGCUUUGAAUAGCAUUUGUAUAGCAAAACGGGGCAAGACUCUCUCUUUGUGUGGUGUGAAUAGUUUUAUUUUUUCGUUUUCUUUUUGGUUGAGGGAAGUGUGAGUUGAUUUGGUACGUACAAGUACAAUAUUACUACAUGUUAGGCUUGUCCCUAAAAUUCAACCCGCGUCUUGUUAUAUCCCGAAAAUUCAGAUAUCGUGCUCCCGAAACUGGCGCCUUCACAACCUGCGCCUUGCUAUCCCGAAAUUACAAUGCGCACGAAAACUCCCUCCAGCUGCCAAAUCCCGACACGCGAAAUCCCCCUUCUAACCCUGAGCCGAAAGGGCCGCUAGUUCAAAUCAGUGGGGGGGUACUUUUGUAGCACACCCUACAUUUUGGACAAGCGCGUCCCUAAGUAAUGCUUCACCCCCUCCCAUCGCCCGCUUUUCGCCAUUCGAAAUCCCAGGCCACCAUAACCUCUCCGCUCCAGCCAUGAAACCCCACCCUCCUCCGUCCGCCACGUCACCGCUGCCCAGCCGGAGCCUCUUCCCCGACGACGUCAUUCACCGCAACAGCUCGAUGUCCCUCGUGCACCUCCCCGAAUGAGGAUCCGUCGUCCAUCUCGCCGUCCCGCCGGAUCAGCCGCCCCGUCCUCCACCUCCAAGGAGCUGCCCCGACAAUCACCUCGUAUAUCGCAGCUACUUCAUCCCCGCAGCACCGCCUUAACCUGCUCCACCGGAACCGCAGCAUCCUCACCAACUCCUCGGACGAAGCUGAGGCCUACUCGGCGCCACCAAAGAGGUUGUACACUCAUCGCAUUGCACCUUCUCCUUAACUCGACCUCCCGGCGCCGACGGUGCUCCAUACCGCACCGCCAUGGAGCGGCUACCUUGAAGCCGGCGCCGCGGGCGACAUCUCCACGGCGGCUCUCCCCCAGUGCGAAGCCCCUUCGGCGACGGCGUCCAUACCAGCCGGAUCUGCUGCUGCUGCUCCGGCUCUCGCUCGCUCACUCGCGCUGCUGCUGCUGCUCCGGCUCUCGCUCGCUCGCUCGCGCUGCUGCUACUGCUCCGGCUCUCGCUCGGUCGCUCGCUCGCCCAGCUGCUGCUGCUGCUCUCCCCCUCUCUCGUGCUGCUGCUCUGCUCCGAUUAAGCCACACUUCAGUCGACUGAAUUGACUUUUGGGUCAGUCGAUUUUCAGGGGUUGGGGGGGAGGGCUCGCCGGAGUUAAGGAAGAACCACCCGCCGGAGAAGUACAGUCUGGUUCGGGGGGCCUGCCGGAGAGGUACCCCACUAUCUAUCUUAGGGUUCAUGGUGGAGGGGGGGCCUAGAGGGCUGGCCGGGGUGUCGGUGGCGAGUUGUUUCGGGGCGGCGAGGCGGCGCUUGAGCCGGCGGCGAGGCCGGUGGUGGCAGGCGGCUCAGGGGUGUGCAGGUUGAAGAUGAACUGCAGGCCCUCCCUAAACUACAUGUCAAGUGUCUCUCUGCUACCAUUGCAUUCAGUCUCGACAUUAGCAUUCAGAUUCCACAGUUAAUUUCAGUUUCGACAGUUAAGUUCAGAGUCAACAGUUUUUACCUCAUCUAUUGUAGUCAGGUGGUUUUUGGUGAUGUUAAUUUUACAUCCAUUUUUCAUCAUCUAUUGGAGAUGCUAUUAGAAUCCCACUUGAGAUUGACGAUGUCUGUCUUGUGUUGCUUCAGCAUUGACCUCUUACGGCUCACUGGAGCUGCUCCAACGACAGAACGAUCCAUCACAACAGAGCAGUGCCCUAGACGCCGUCUACAGAUUCCUCAGAUCUUCCUCCACACCUCCGACAGCCACCUCUGCCUCAACUGCUUCAGCGACCAACCCAAUGAUGCUGAGGUCGACACGGCUACGGCAAAGAGGUUGUACACUUGUUGUGUUAGUUAUUACUAUACAUUCACGUCGAUCCAUUAGGGUUAUUUUGGUUCAACGGAAAAACGUUGAUCCACUGGUUGUUACCAUCACUCUAAAUUUCUGCAUGCUCUCCUUACAUAAUCUCACCAUAUUUUUUUCGUAUGCAUGUCAGAUAUUCUACACAGUCAUGCUGAACAUGUAGAGAAAAAGAGAAGAGUUUUGCGCGGCAAUACAAUGUCAUGCAGACAUUGCUCCAUGGUGGGUUCAAUGGCAAACCCUCCCCACCCCUCUCCAGAUUGUAAUCCAGAGGAAGAUAUCUGUUCUGAGGCGUAUUCAGACACCGCUGACCACUCCUAUUUACCCGCCAAGGUGUUUGCUCUACCUUGGCAUGAUGAUGUUAGUCAUAUCAUGCAUAUGUUGCCUUGCAGUGCCUACUUUUGACAUCAUAUAUGUCAUCUGCUUAGUUUAGACAUGUUCUGUAAUGCCACCUAUUUAGUUUCUAUAUCAUAUAUGGGAAUUAUGCAGUCUCAUGUCUUUUAGCCAGCCAUAAUAUAUGUGAAAUGUGCAAUGCCAUCCUGUUUAACCAGGCAUCAUAUAUUUGAAUGAUAUCUUGCCCAUCCUUUUCUUCAUUACAUUUCCAUUUGUCGACAAUGUUUGUACAUUAAACUACUUUUCCUGUGAAUCGGCCAUUUGGGUGGGAGAUGGAAAAAUCUGGAGUGAAAACAAGGCCUUCAGAGCAGACAGUGCUACCUGUCGAAGCAGAUCUCUUGUUGGGUCCCGAUAGCUCCUCAGAGAUGGAUUUAGAGACAGAUGACCAGUCUUAUUCCCCCACUGAGGUGUAUGCUCUAACUUGGCAUGGUUAUACUACUGAUAUCAUGCAUACGGUGUCUUGCAUUGCAUAGUUUAGACAUCAUAUACACAAUAUUCAACACCAUGUUCUUAGUUCAGACAUCAUAUCGAAUGCCCUCUAUUUAGCAUAUAAAUCACAUAUGUGAAUUAAAUGAUGCGAUCCUGAUUACUUAGAUAACAUGUAGGUGAAUUAGGUCAUGCGAUCCUGUUUAGUUAUUCAUCAUAUCUUUGAAUUAUGUUAUGCUAUGCUAUCAAGUUUAGAUAGACAUCAUAUAUGUGAAAUUAUGUCAUGCUAUCCGUUUUAGUUAAACAAUAUCAUGUCAACUAUUUCAUGCCCUCUUUUUUCCACAGUAUCUAUUGCAUCCGUCUCAUACAAUGUCUGUACAUUCAACUAUGUUUCCUGUUUAUCAGCCAUUUGAAUUGGAGUGGGUGAUGCCAGUAUCUAGCGGAAUAAAAACACGGUCUUCAAUUAAAACAGUGCUACCUCUUGGUGGAGAUAGACCCUGGUUGUACAUGCACAAGAACCAGCCCUACCACACAUAACCCAAACUCUCGCAGAUUGUACCCCUACUGCGAUGGACAGAGAACCAGCUUCACCCAAUCUAACCCCAACCCCAGCCGAUAGUAACCCAGUUCCUGUUGACACAGCACCAUCUCCACCACAGAGCUCCCAAACAACAGCAGUUAGUAAGGCAGCUCCAGUGCCCAAAGGGCCAGUACUAUCACGGCGAACCCCAACUCCACCAGUUAGUACGCCUAUUCCUGUGGAGGAAGCACAACCAGCCAGUCGUAGUUUAGCAUCUAUCGCAUUUGAUGUUGUUAAAUCGUAUGUGCGUAUCUUCCCAUCUUGGAAAUAUUAUACUGAAGAUGAAGGAAAAUGCCAGUUGCAGGUGUUUGUCCAGGAGUUAUGUGUAAGUAAUGUUAUUCAUGGCAAUUACUUUGCUUCGUCCCAUAAAUCCUACCUCCAUGGUGGUUAUAAUACAACCAAUUUUCCCAUUUUUCUCUAUAGAGAAGGACCGAUUUUGAAACUCAGGAUGAGGUACCCUGUGCUAAUACCUCUGCUAUCUUCAAGAAUGCUUGGUGGCAGUAUCGGAAUUACCUGAAGAAAACGUACUUCACCGGCAAAGAAACUCAUCAAAUUCCCUUACAUUCUCCUGAGACACAUUUACUGGAGGAUGACUGGGAACGCCUUGUUCUGUACUGGUCCCGAACCAAGAAUGUGGUAAGGUCUAUGAGCUCAUUUUCUAUUUUAAGUAUUUUAUUCUUGCAUCUUACUGUACUCUGUUCAUGCAGAACAAGUGCCUAAACCUGAAGAACAACUGUUCUAAUUUAAGAUUCCAUUGCUAUCAUAGUUCGAAAAAGCGCUAGGCAUUAAUUGUGCGUUUUGCCACCGCCUUGCGCUUUACUGACCAAAGCGCAUGCUUAUGCGUAGUUAUGCACAGAUUAUGCAUAGUUAUGCGCAAUGCGUUUUGCCAACGCCUAGAGCCUAGGCGCGCUUAAGCGCUCGCUUAGGCGCGCCUUUUUUAACUAUGAUUGCAUUGCUCUUGUAUCACUGUAUUUACUGAUACGAACUUAUUUUUAAAUUGAAGGAUCCAAUCGAAACUCCAAUGGCACAACAGGUAUGUUCAUGCAUGUUUCUUUAACAGGUUUGCUCUUAUCAAUAGCUCUGUUGAUUUCAAUUUCAAUUGUGUAUAUAGUUGAGUUUCAAAUCAUGCACAUUACUAGCAUCACAACAGAGCCAAUAGUGUUGUUGUACAUGUAGACCCGUGGUACCCAUCUGAAAUCUUGUUGUGCCGUGUAGUUUCCCACGCUUUGUAUUCUUUCACUGCUGCUUUGUCUUGAACUGAUAUGAUUUGAACCGUGUCUCUAUUUUGAUUUGGCAAGACAAUGAAGUGACCAUAGGACAUAGAUAUAUGUUUUGAUGCUUUUAUUAUGUACUAGUACUUGGCAGUAGAAGACUUGGUAGUUUAAUCCUGUCCACCUUACUAAUGAACUGGUUCACCGAAAUGAGUUUCAUAUACUAGUACAUGCUAAACUUGUUAUGUGUCUGCUUGUUUCUUCUUUUAGAAUGCUGACAGAAUAUUGGGGAAGAGUGCCUUAUUAAGAAAUGGUAAAGGAAGUAAUGCAGAUAAGGUUCAGGAUAGUGACACAUCCUUGUUGGUCUCCAACAAAGCUGAUAAAACAGCUAAGGAAGACUAUCUUGAAGAUAGCGAGACAACCCCAAAGUCCUGUCUUGGUUUAGUGUUCGAGUUACUGGCCACUACCGCAUGCACAAGCUAUUCAAACUCACUGUCUGAAUCAGUUCAGUUUCUUGAGUCUCAACUACAAGCUGAAAGACAUCGAUCAGCUGUGCUGCGACAAGAAGCGAAAGGACUGCGGAAGUCCCUGGAGCAUUCAGAUGCAUACUUACUGGUGCAACAGCAAGCGUUGGAGGAUUUUAGCGCCAAACAGGACAAAGCUAAUCAGCUUGCUAAGCUUAUUGCCAGCAUGGUGGAUACCCAGGAAAACAUUUCUUGAGCUCUUCCGAAGUUGUUUCAGUUAUGCUCUUGUUUUGCUGCCGCAUUUAUUUGCACUGGUGGCCAAUUUUGACGGCCAAGUGUAUGUAAUAUGAUGCUUUGUUCCCUAUAUUUGCACUGCUGGCGAACUUUGAUGCCCAGUGGAUGUAAUAUGUGUAAUAGCGGUAAUAUGCUAGCCUUAAUUGCUUGCUUAUUUAUUUCCUUAUUUUCUUGUUUAGUUGUUUGCUUGUAGUCACUGCAGUUCUUUUUCUGUGUUUUUCUAGUGGCGACAAUAGCCUAUUUUUUGUAACUAGGCUAUAAGUGCAUCUAGUGCCCCUUAGUGAUUUUGGUGUAUCGAAGACUUAUAGGUUAAGGGACUAAUGUGUUUAUGAGUGUCCACAGGUCUAUAAGUCUAUGAGGAGUUUGAUAUUUACAGAGAAAGUCCACCCCUAAAAAUGAAGUUCUUCGACUGAAGACUUUGAUAUUCUGAAGACUCUCUGAAGACUUUGAAAGUGAAGAAAUUGGUGUGACCUUGAAGACUUGGUAUUCAAUUGAGGAACAUGAAGCGUGAAGACUUUUGUUUUUGUAGUUUCAUUUUCUCUUUCUUGAGUCAUAGGAAACACCGUACUGUUAAAGGAGGUCGAGGAAAUACUAAGGAAAAAUUUCCAUGUGAUGCUCAACUCAAAAUCCUACACCUACCAAUCCCUUCAAGUGAAGCCUUUGGAAAUCUCAUACAGUUCAGUCAAUUUCUUCAGUGACAGAGACGAAGUUCUUCUGGUUGCUAAGGAAUUUGUUCUGACUGAGGAGUUAGGAAUUCGCCAGUGCGGAUUGCCUACACAGUGAGGAACAUGAUAGCCCUGAGGAAUUUGAGAGUCAAAUUUCCGACCGUUGCUGUGCUGCGCGCCAGCUGUCCCAAAAUAUCUUAUCCACCUAACGGUCAUAUCAUUGAAGGGCAUUUAUGUCUUAUCAUGUUGGGCUGCUCCCUAGGCUAUAAAUAGCCGCCCCCUACAACCACUAGCUGGUUGGCUGCUUCGAGAGAACCUGACACUUGUCAUUUGAGAGCAACCCAUCCUCCGAGGACUUUGAGUGAAAAUCAUCGAGUGAGGAAAAACCCAAAAACCAAACCCCUACAAACCCAAAGUGAUUGAGCAUCACUAAAGAGAUUGAUCCUGCGUGGAUCCAACACUUGUUACCUUUGAAGAUUGUGCUUCUUCGAGACGGUUAGGCGUCAUGGUCUAGAGCAUCCAAGAGGAAUUGUGGAUCGCCGAGUGACCAAGUCUGUGAAGGUUUGGAAGUCGCCUGAAGACUUACCACGAGUGAUUGGAGGAGGUCUGUCUGACCUUAGUUCAAGGAGAAUACGGUGAGGACUUGGUGUCCUGAGCUGCGUUCUCAGCGACUGGGUGUCCGAGACUGUGUGUCCUCGAGUUUAAAUACUCAGCCGCUCCAACCAGAUGUACAACUGAGACAACAGUUGGAACUGGUCUACCAAAUCAUUGUCUUCACCAACCUUCCUGGUUCUAUUCCCUCAACUCUUUCAUUUCCUCAUUACUGUAUUGAGUGAUUGUUUGUAUCUGUGUUUGAAGACUUUGACUGAAGACUUUCUCAAUUUCCUCAGUUCAAUUUCUUCAGUCUACUUGUCUUCAUCUUGUGUUAUCCUGUGACUACACUUUCUGUACUCUGUGUUUGUCUUCAUUUCAUCAUGAUGACUAAGCCUGCAUUCUGUUAUGCUUACUUCUGAGUACUUAUUCUGCUGCAAGUAGUUCUUCGCUAAGGAAUUUCCUCACCGGCAAAUUCCUCAGUGAAGAAUUCUUAAAAAUCGCCUAUUCACCCCCCUCUAGUCGAUAUAACGUACUUUCAAUUGGUAUCAGAGCAAGGUACUCCCUUUUUCUGUGUGAUUUUGGUUUAACCACCUUGAGUUUUAGUUAUGUCGACCGCAGGUAUGAAGAAAGUGACAUGCCCUAUCUUUGACGGUCAUGAUUAUCCCAAGUGGAAGGCCAUGAUGAGGAAGCGCCUCAUGGCAAUGGACAGCGAGCUGUAGACCGUCACUGAAAUUGGUCUUACUGAUCUGUGCAAGUCGGCAAACGCAGAUGAUAUUCGCAAGUACACUCGACUUGACAUCAUGGCGAAGGACAUCAUCUGUUCCUGCCUAUCCAGAGAUGAAUUCAAGCGCAUUAUGCAUCUUUGCAAUGCGAAGCUUAUCUGAGACCGAAUCUCUGAUGUCUAUGAAGGUCAUCGAACCCGUCAUGAUCCUUGGUUUGAGGACUUCAAGGAAUCUCUCAAAACGAUGACUUUCGAACCAGAAUCAUCAUCUUCUGCAUCAUGUCUCAUGGCAAAGGGUGACAAGGUAACCGAAUGUUCCUCAUCCGAGUAUAGUGACGAUGAAUCUGAUGAUGAUGGAUCUGAUGAUGAUAUUGAACCGAGCUAUACCAAGCUUGUUUGUAUUGCCACCAAACAACAACAUGCCUUGGAAAAGGUUCAAAACAUGUUAGGUAAAAGUGAUGAUAUGUUAGGUGAAGAAAUGGAUCGCACUAAUGCCCUGACUGAAAAUCUUCAGAGACUUCAGUCUAGGUUUGACAGCCUUCAAGGUCAUCAUAACACUCUCUUGACUGAUCAUGAGAAACUUUCUUAUGAAUUUCUUCAAAGAAAGCAAGAUCUUGAGAAGCUAAGAGUGAGUUAUGAAGAUCUUCAGAAGGAGCGCGAUUCAUUACUUGCUCAACAAAUCAGAGCUUCUCAGGAAGAAUCUGUUCCUCCAUGCUUAAAGUGCAUUGAACGUGAAUCUGCUAAUUCUUCACCUGAAUGUUCAAAUGCUUCAACUGUUACAAAUUCUUCACCUGCUCCUGCUAUCACUAAUUCCUCAUCUGAGGACAUUGGUAGUAUCACUGACGAUGCAGGGCUGAAGGAAUUGUACAUGACAGGCAUGUACAAAAGCCUCAAAGGGCAUCAGACUCUUUGUGAUGUGCUUAAAAAGCAGAUCCUCAAAAGGAAUCCUAGGAAAGAGGGUAUUGCCUUUGAGAGGAAACUCAAUGCUGAUGGAACAUAUUGGAAGCCUGAGCAGUACCCCAAAACCUCAUGGGUUGCUGCAAAGGGACCUCCAGUUGAUCCAUCUAACUUAUCUGGCUUUACAUGUUUAUCUCCUCAUUCUUCUGAUGAGUCAUUUGACUCCAACUAUAAACUGUUCAAAAAUCAGAACGGUGAAGUAUUUGCUAGAUAUGUUGGCACUAACUGCAGGAACGGUUCCCCUAUGAAGAAAAUCUGGGUUCCCAAGAAGUGCGUUGAAAGUCUUCAGGUGAAUGUCCUCAUGACACCACCUGUGAAGAAUAGGAACCCCAGAUCAAACUCUUCAUAUGGACCAAAUUCUUCAUAUGGAUCCAAGUCCUCAUACGGACCAAAUUCCUCACGUGGAUGAAACUCCUCAAAAUAAUCAAAGUCCUCAUAUGAUUAUCAUCGUGCUAACAACUCUAUUUCGCAGGGUAGAGCUAAGGGCUAUGAAUAUGUGCAUUAUUCUUCAAACCAAUAUGUUCAUAAGUCCUCGAAGAAUUUCUCUGCUUAUUCAUAUGCUUACCCUAACCCCUCUUAUGUGAAACAAAAUGGAUUUGCCUCUAUGCCACCAUUCUCAUAUGGAUCUCGUAGAGUGAUGAACUCUUUGCCACCCCUUCAGAUGUGGGUGGUGAAGAAAAGGAACUAAUCUCUUCUGCAGGGUCAGGUCUCCAGACGUGCUUUAAUGUCUGAAGAAUUUGCUGGCCUGACAAAAAUGCCUGAAAGGACGCAGGCUAAUCAUGAAGAAAUGAACUUUCAUUUCACACGUCCUCAUACUGCUUAUCUGUUAUACUGCCUGAUGAAAUUCAUCUAAUGAAAUUGAUAUCAUAUUCUUCACUGAUGAAGUAUAUGAGAUCGUAAGUUGCACUAAUUCAUCUACAGGAUGAUCAACCCAAAGCCAAUGAGUGGGUUCUCGAUAGUGGAUGUACAAAUCACAUGACUGGUGACAAGAAUCUAUUGAUGGAUGCUCCCUUAUCACUGUCACAUCUGAAGCAUAUCAUCUUUGCUGACAAAGGCAAAAGUCAGGUAUUGGGUCUUGGUAAGAUUGCGAUCUCUAAGGACAUACACAUGGACAAAGUCAUGCUUGUUGAGUCCUUAGGAUACAACCUCAUGUCAGUCUCAAUGCUUUUGUUGUCUUUGGCAAGUAUCAUUGUGUUGUGAUCAUGGAAGCUGACAAUUCCAAAGUAUUCAAAGGCUUUAGGAGAGGAGACUUGUAUAUUGUUGAUUUCUCUAUAGGACCACAACCAGCCGUGUGUCUACUUGCAAAAGCUUCAGAAGGCUGGCUAUGGCAUCGACGACUUGGUCAUGCAGGCAUGAGGAAUUUGCACACGCUUGUGAAGAAGAAGCAUGUCAUUGGCAUUGAGAAUGUCAAAUUCCUCAAGGAUCACUUGUGUGGAGCCUAUGAAGCUGGAAAAAUGACCAAGGCCAAGCAUUCAGCGAAGACUAUCAUGACCACUACUCGACCAUUCGAAUUGCUUCACAUGGACCUCUUUGGUCCUAAUCAUUACUCAGCAGUCACUAAUGAUGCAUCUCUAUAUGGCUUUGUUAUUGUUGAUGAUUAUUCUCGUUACACAUGGGUACGCAUUGUUACUUACAAGCAUGAAGUGCAGGAAGUCUUCAAACGAUUUUCCUCGAGGGCUUCAACCAACUUUGGUGUGAAGAUCAAGCACAUCAGGAGUGACAAUGGAACUGAGUUCAAGAAUUCCGGUCUUGAUGACUAUCGUGAUGAACUUGGUAUUACUCAUGAGUUAUCUGCUCCUUAUACUCCUGAGCAAAAUGGCGUCAUGGAGCGCAAGAACAGAACUCUUGUUGAGAUGGCGUGCACUAUGCUUGAUGAAUACAAAACACCUCGUCAUUUUUGGAUUGAUGCAAUUGAUACCGCGUGCCACAUCAUCAACAAAGUAUAUCUUCACAAAUUCUUCAAAAACACUGCCUAUGAACUCCUCAGUGACAAGAAACCCAAUGUGAGUUAUUUCAAAGUCUUCAAUGCUAAAUGUUGGAUUAGAGAUCCUCAUCACAAUUCUAAAUUUGCACCGAAAGCACAUGAGGGUUUUAUGCUUGGUUACAAAAAGGACUCGCACACCUACAAAGUCUUCAACAAUGUUCUUUAUAAGAUUGUUGAAACUGUAGAUGUGCGGUUCGAUGAAACUAAUGGCUCGCAAAGAGAGCACCUGCCUUCUGUUAUAGAUGAACCAAUGCCUGAGGAGUCUAUCAAGUUCAAGGCGACUAAGGAUGUCAUUCCUACUGAAGAAUCUGCUGAAGAAUUCAUUCCAGAAUGCGAAGAACGUCGAGCUGAUGCUCCUGAGGAUAAUGCUGAAGAAAAUGGUGCUAAAGAAAAUGCCGAUCAAAUUCCUCGACGACAACCAGCUCAUCCUCGCGUUGCAAAAGAAGUGCAAGUUGACAAGAUCAUCGAUGACAUUGAAGCACCAGGUCCUCUCACAUGCUCAAAAGCUUCACAUUUAUCUAACUUUUGUGGGCACUAUGCUUUUGUCUCUAUCACAGAGCCCACUAAGGUAGAUGAAGCAUUUCUGGAGCCUGAGUGGAUUCAGGCAAUGCAAGAAGAAUUACAUCAAUUAGAGCUCAACAAUGUCUGGGAACUGGUCAAACGUCCAGAUCCUCGCCAGCAUAAUAUCAUUGGCACAAAGUGGAUCUACCGCAACAAGCAAGAUGAAAAUGGCCUUGUGGUGAGGAAUAAGGCACGACUUGUAGCUCAAGGCUACACACAGGUUGAAGGAAUUGAUUUCGAUGAAACUUUUGCACCUGUUGCUAGACUUGAGGCUAUUCGCAUAUUACUUGCUUAUGCUAACCAUCAUAAUAUCAUUUUAUAUCAAAUGGAUGUGAAAAGUGCAUUCCUCAAUGGUAAGCCUGAGGAAGAAUUAUAUGUUGCUCAACCCCUAGGUUUUGAAGAUCCAAAGAAUCCCGACAAAGUCUUCAUACUCAACAAGGCCCUCUAUGGCCUCAAACAGGCCCCACGGGUGUGGUAUGAUACAUUGAAGUAAUUCUUCAUGAAGAAUGGCUUCACACCCGGUUCACUCGACCCUACUCUCUUUACUAAAUCAUAUGAUGGUGAACUGUUUGUGUGCCAAAUAUAUGUUGAUGAUAUUAUUUUUGGCUGUACUGACCAACGUUAUAGUGAUGAAUUUGCCUAUAUGAUGAGUGAAGAAUAUCAAAUGUCUAUGAUGGGAGAAUUGAAAUUAUUCUUAGGUCUUCAAAUUCGUCAACAACACAAUGGCAUAUUCAUAUGUCAGGAGAAAUACCUCAAAGUUGUUCUGAAGAAAUUUGGCAUGCAAGAUUGCAAAGGCGUCAAAAUUCCUAUGCCCACAAAUGGCCAUCUAUGCACUGAUGAAAAUGGUAUUGACUUCGAUCACAAGGUAUACCGCUCCAUGAUUGGUUCUCUAUUGUACUUAUGUGCAUCUAGGCUAGAUAUAAUGCUUAGUGUUUGCAUGUCUGCCUGAUUUCAAGCUACACCGAAGGAAUCACACCAUAAGGCUGUGAAGCAUAUUCUUCGAUAUCUAGCUCACACACCAACACUAGGAUUAUGGUACCCCAAGGGCUCUACGUUUGAUCUCAUCGGAUAUUCUGACUCUGACUAUGUUGGUGAUCAUGUGGACCGCAAGUCAACAUCUGGUACUUGUCAUUUCCUCCGACGAUCUUUGGUCUGUUGGUCCUCGAAGAAACAGAACUGCGUAUCACUGUCUACUGCGGAAGCUGAUUACAUUGCUGCUGGCUCUUGUUGUGCUCAAUUGCUGUGGAUGAAGCAAACUCUCAAGGACUACGACAUCAACGUGAAGAAUGUGCCUCUCUACUGUGACAAUGAGGGUGCCAUCAAGAUUGCUCACAACCCAGUUCAGCACUCUAAGACAAAGCACAUUCAGAUUCGUCAUCAUUUUCUUCGUGAUCAUGUGUUGAAGGGCGACAUCUCCAUCGAGCAUGUGAAGACUGAAGAACAGCUGGCCGAUAUCUUCACAAAGACCUUGGAUGAGAAGAGAUUUAGCAAGUUGCGGUGUGAGCUAAAUAUCUUAGAAUCUUCGAAUGUUCUUUGAAAAGGACACACAUCCUGACACUUAUGCAAAAUUGAUGACUUAGAUGUGCAACAGUCUAAGUGUGAAGAAAUUAAUGAAGAAUUUGAUUCUCAGAACCCUACGACAAUUGUACGUGGUGUCUGAAAUCAUCAUUCUUAUACGGUGGGUCACGCCACCACCAAAGUUGAAAAUCUUCACUGUGUCCUUGUUAGCUGAAGAAAUUGCGAACGGAACUUUUAACUUAUCUUAUCCAAAUUUUCGGCUUUGCCUCUCAAACCAAUCCGCAUCCCAUGAUAAACUUAUCUAUUCACCCAUGAUCUAACACGAUCUCCACCUUUCAGUCGUGGGUGACACAUGUCAAGCGAAUGAGAAGGGCCAGGGGCACGUUUGUCCAAAAUCUUCGGGCGAACGGUUUUUCACAGUGGCUAUAUAUACCCCCUCUCCCCUUCCUCACUUCCUUUACUCCGCUCGACCGCUCACUCUCUCGCUCGAGCUUCUCAAACCCUAGCGCCGCCGCUACUCCAUCGUCGCCGGUGAGGAAGAGCUUCACUGCCUCGACCUCGUCACCGUCGUACUCGCGCCGACCGCGGAAAUCUUCACUCCGCCGCCGCCGUAGUUGUCUUCCUCCACCGAGUUAGGGCGUGGGAGAUCUGAACUGACGAACUUCUAAUCUACACUUAUCAGUUCGUCGUGUUCUUCAGUUCGGGUAAUUAAAAGUUACUUUUAUUACUCGCUUUGAUUCUCAAACCUUCCUGAAAAUCUUCAAAGGUGUUUAUUCUUCAAAUCUUCACAAAUAUGAACAUGUCAAACGAAAUAUGCUCUUGAUUCCUCUCUCUAAGCAAUGAUUUUUCUUCAAGAUUCCUCAAUUGUGUGGAUCCUCGAUCUAUACAACUCUGGAAUCUAAGACAAAGAUCGCUUAGUGAAAUUCUUCAAGGCUCAUCUGGUCAAAUUCCUCAAACUAGUUCUUUUUGAAAAACCUUCUGAGAACGCAUAUGACCUCUCCAAAUUCCUCGCAACUAUUCUCUGUUCACAGGUACUCAUGUCCGCUGCUGAAUCACUAGGUUCUCAUCAACUUAACUCAUUUGUAGCGUUCCUCGAAGAAAAGUUGCAUACUUCUUCAGAGAAUUCGAUUGUUCAAAUUCCUCAGCUGAAGAAUAUGGCAGAAGGAAAGAAGCCACAGAAAGGAGGAAAGAGGCCUGAGGUAAUGACUGCUUUCGAGAUACAUGAGGACAUAUACGCUGACUAUUGCACACCUGAUGAAUCCAAGUUUGGCAAGGAAAACAAAAAUCAGCGCAAGGUGCGCAUUCAUAGGAUUGAAAGGAGAUGGGCAAGGGAAUGGAGGGAGUAUAGAUAUGUUACUCCAAAGUACAUGAAGAAAUUCACACUGAAUCCUCCAUGCCCAAGAGAUCCAUUGGCACCUGGCCAAGAGCUGACCCCACCAGCUUCAAGCGUGGUGAGGACUUUCUUGAAGAAUGGGCCAAGCGCCAAGCCAAGUUGGCGAGACAAGCCAAAGAAGCAGUGAGGAAAUUCAAUGAAGACUCUUCUACUGCUGCUGCCACUGAGGCCCCUGUUCAGCCCAUAAGAUCAAUGGCAAAGAAGCCAGCGCACAAGCCAAGUGCUUCACCAACAGUGCCCUCACGGCCAAAAUCCUCAGCAAUGCCCUCACGGCCAGAAUCUUCAAUGCCCUCACAGCCAGUUCCUCAUGCUGCUUGUCGGUGUCAAAACCGGCGGAUCUUGGGUAGGGGGUCCCGAACUGUGCGUCUAGGCGGAUGGUAACAGGAGACGAGGGACACGAUGUUUUUACCCAGGUUUGGGCCCUCUUGAUGGAGGUAAAACCCUACAUCCUGCUUGAUUAAUAUUGAUGAUGUGGGUUACAAGAGUAGAUCUACCACGAGAUCAAGGAGGCUAAACCCUAGAAGCUAGCCUAUGGUAUGAUUGUUGUCUGUCCUAUGGACUAAAGCCAUCCGGUUUAUAUAGACACCGGAGAGGGCUAGGGUUACACAGAGUCGGUUACAAUGGUAGGAGAUCUACAUAUCCGUAUCGCCAAGCUUGCCUUCCACGCCAAGGAAAGUCCCAUCCAGACACGGGAUGAAGUCUUCAAUCUUGUAUCUUCAUAGUCUUGGAGUCCGGCCGAUGAUGGUAGUUCGGCUAUCCGGACACCCCCUAGUCCGGGACUCCCUCAGUAGCCCCUGAACCAGGCUUCAACGACGACGAGUCCGGCGCGCAUAUUGUCUUCGGUAUUGCAAGGCGGGUUCCUCCUCCGAAUAAUUUAUAGAAGAUUGUGAACACCAGGAUAGUGUCCAGCUCUGCAAAAAUAAAUUCCACAUACCACCGUAGAGAGAAUAAUAUUACACACGAUCAAUCUGCUGACGUAUUCUGUGGCGUAACAUCACACCACUUCCAAGCCUUUACUCGAAUUGUUUUUAUUGUUCCACCUCAGCGCGUUUAGCGAGGCAGUUUCCUUGGCACGUCUUGUCGAAGCAGAGAUCGUGUUCCCCUUAUUUCGGGAUUCCCAUUAAUAUGGACGUGGGUAACCCAACCGCGCCUGUUGCCACGCCCCCUCCAUUGAAGGCGGGUUCCAAACGGUCACGGGGACGGCUCUUGGUAUUCUUCCUCUUUAUAAAGAGACCAAGGCCCGUUCUUUUUAUUCAAUCCUCUACCGAAUCCGCCCCUCUCCCUGAGUUCCAACACCCAGGGAUCCGAAUUCAGGUACCUUCGAUCCUCGACAAUGUCCGGUCCUGAUCUACGAGGCCGGUGGAUGCCCUCCUCCGUCACGGAGGAGGACGUGCUAAAGCUGAGAGAUGCCAGGUAUUUAACCUACGAGAUUUUGCAUAGGCUGCCUGCCCGAGGGCAAGUUAUCCCAACUCCCGAGCCUGGUGAGAUCGUCGUGUUCACGUCACAAGGUAGUGAGACGUGAACACGACGAUCUCGCCAGGCUCGGGAGUUGGGAUAACUUGCCCUCGGGCAGGCAGCCUAUCAUGAAGGGAUCCGUCGGGAAGCAACUCGACCUGCAGAUGCGGACAUCUCGCUGGUCAAUAGAGGACUUGAUGAGUCACAAGUUAUGUGGUUGCCCCGCGGUUGGUUAGUAAGGGAGCUGACGCCCAUUCCUUACAAAUUGUAUGCUUAGAUGCAGAUGGUGCUGCUGCUGUGGAGGACCUUCGAGCAGAACUUGCUCGGGCCAAGGAGCAAGCCAGAAAGAGCGAGGCGGCUGCCUUGAAGGCAGCGGAAGGGUUAGAAGCCGAGAAGGCUGCUCACUGCCAAAGCAGGGAGGAGAUGGCUAGAAUGGCCAUGAAAUUAAGAGUUGCUACCGACCGCCUGGAAGUUCUUGAAGGAGAACGCCGAGCGGAGCGAGAGGACCUGAAGAAGGCCGAUGCCGAGGCCAAGGAUGCCCGUAGUGCGAUGCGGGCUAUGAAGGAGGAACUGCGUCAGGUCGGAGACAUUGUGGCUGGAAAGCCCUUUAUGCUGCGUAGGAAGUUCACGGAUCCGAAGUAUGCUCAGCUGGGCCGAUUGUACGGUGCGGAGGAUCCUUAUCUGGACUUGGCGGCGAGUGCGGCUGACGCAGUCGUGCACUUUCGAAGCCAGGAGGAUCAUGAAAUGGAAGAGCUUUUCUGGUCUCAAUUCCAUAGUCCGGAGCGUCCACUUCUGUUGAGUGAUCGGCUGGUUGAGUGGGCUGAGCUGAAUAGAUUGUCCGGACUGGCCAUGACGGAUGUGGUAACUCAUCUGUGGCCGAAAAGGCCCAAGCCGAAGAGUUAUUUUGGCUUGUUGCAGCAAUUCCUUGGGGCAGUGCCGCAUAUUAAGGCGGUGAAGCGGUCGGCAUGCAUAGAAGGUGCGCGGAUGGCUCUCGCCCGUGGUAAAACAUACUGGGCGGAGAUGGAUGCCACCGCUGUUGCAUCCCAGGGUUCGGACAAAUGCCGAUUCCCCACCGAGCAUUACUUUGAGAAAGUCCUGCAGGGCGCUCAUAUAAUAGAGUCGCAAUGCUCGAAAGAUGUUAUGUUUGAAUGACAUGUAUGAUUUCUAAGAUCAUGUUUAUAAUGCAAUGACUUUUUAUACUUGUGUGUUCAAGUAUUAAACUAUCUCCUGUGUGGCCGUAUAUGUAUGUUUCUGAAAGAUGGCAGUCUUUGGCUUCAGCCCCCACGCACAUGGUGCGGGGGUGUUUGCAAAAAGAAAAACGCUUUUUCACACUUAAUCCAACGUCUUGGUCCUUUUAAGGAGGUGAUAGCAUAGCAAACUAGGCAACCGGACUAUAAUGCUUUAUCCCUUUCACUUAGCCAUAGGAGCUCGAAUGUGGGGCUACUAUAUAGCCCCUGAUGGCACCGCGCUCCUCCGAACUUGGGGCGCGUAUGUGCCUGACCGGGAAGCGGUCCUUCGUCAAAGCGGAGGAAUUCUAAAUAUUCCAAUGGUCGAUCGAGUGGUUGACCAGUCUCUUGCUAUAUCAUGACAGUCAGUUUUCGGCUUUCUCUACUAAGGUGCUCUCCCGGCCGAACCGGGGCACAAUCGCAGUAGUUCUCCUGGUGCCGCGUUAGCCGAUGAUACGGAACGUAAGGCAGCAAAACACAGGAGCCGGGCAAACCCAACAUUUGACCAAAGACAUGAUUCGGAGCUGAUGCAUAUAAGGCCUAACUCGAGACGCCGAACACUCCCUGAGGUGUUCGGUCUUUAUGAUAUCGGGCAGAAUAAACGCCCUAAGCCCCUAGUGUCCAGGUACAGGCGGGAACUUCUGACGCGGCCGAUGCCAAAACGCCAGCCUCCUCCUCGGCUCUGGUAAGAAACCGGGGGAUGUUUAUCAACAAGAGACAGUGAGAAAGGUUUACGCAGGGUCUUAAUCUGAAAAGAAUCCUUGCAACGGGUCCCUACUGCACAUCCGCGCCUGUGUCUCCAUUGUGCUGUAUCCUGGACGGGUGUAGCACGUGCUUCAUCUGUAAAAGAGAAGGACUUAGUUUCUAAGAAAUAUCAUGCAAAAAGUGUAUCAAAAUAAAGUAUAAUUUGGAAGAUGAAGAAAGUUGAGCUUUAUUAGCUUUCAUCAUGUAUGCGCGCGGCCCCCUAAAAAAAGGGGUAUGCGGCUGGGAAGCCCCUUGUUAAGUUACGCCGGACUCGUCUAACCAUGUUCGAGGUCUAAAUGACCUGUUUUUAGGGGCUUUGACCUGCAAGGUCGGAAUAAUGUGUGGCUGUCUAGGCAGCCGCACAUUCUCCGUGGUUGAGAGACACCCGGAGUCUUAAGAAUAUGCCACGUGGACCGGGCAUUUUUAAGCGUAAGAGACGCGUAAUGUGGUAUUGCAUUAAAGCGGGCGAAAGCUGCAUGCCCCAGUAGUGCUUAAGGGCUACUGCUAAAUGGGGCGACGGAGGGUGAGCUUUUCGCGAUAGAGGUUGUCGGAUGAACCGAACAUGACCCCUAGUGGUACAGAGCCUGUAAAAUUGGCUAAAAAGGCCUGGCGUCACUCCUUUGAAGGAAGUGCUUGCUAUAGCAAAUUUUGGUGGGUUCUAUCCCCAGUCUGCGGAUGGUGUCCUGGUAUAGCAGGGGCCGCGCUGUGUGUUAUCACGUGAAGUGAGUUCACUGUUUUGACUUCUAAUGGGAAAGUCUUUUGGUUUCCGGAGCGCUGCUUUUGGGUUUCGUCACUUUCACUUGGUGUGUCGAGCCCUUUGUGUUUGGUGUUAAGUCGGCCGGACUGCUUGAAGACCCAACAAUCUCUGUGGGUAUGGUUUGCAGGCCUCCCGGAGGUACCGUGUAUUUGACACUGUCUAUCCAGAAUCUUGUUGAGGUUGAAUAGCUCGUCACUGUUAUCCUUUAAGGGCAGUGUUUUGUUGUUCGGCUGAGAGCUUUUGAAUCCGGCGUUGACCGCCGUACUAUUUGGGCCAUUCUCCUUGUUCCGGUGCUAAUCUUUUUUGCGUCGUGAUUUCCCAUUUCCAUCCCUGAGUUCGGAUGUACUGGGUCGCUGGUGCUGCAUCUAGCCAACCAGCUGUCUUCCCCUGCGCAAAAGCGGGUCAUGAGACUUGUUAGUGCGGCCAUUGUUCUUGGUUUUUCCUGGCCGAGGUGUCUGGCGAGCCAUUCGUCUCGGAUGUUGUGUUUGAAGGCUGCUAAGGCUUCAGCGUCCGGACAGUCGACUAUUUGGUUCUUUUUAGUGAGGAACCUGUUCCAGAAUUUGCGUGCUGAUUCUCCGGGCUGUUGAGUUAUGUGACUUAAAUCAUCUGCAUCCGGAGGCCGGACAUAAGUCCCCUGAAAAUUUGCUCACAACGCAUCCUCAAGCUCUUCCCAACUCCCAAUCGUAUUUUCUGGGAGGCUUUUAAGCCAAUGUCGGGCCGGCCCUUUGAGCUUGAGGGGAAGGUAUUUUAUGGCAUGGAGAUCGUCUCCUCUUGCCAUGUGUAUGUGUAGGAUAUAAUCCUCAAUCCAGACUCCGGGGUCUGUUGUUCCGUCGUAUGCCUCUAUGUUUAUGGGUUUAAAUCCCGCUGGAAAUCCAUGAUCCAGUACCUCGUCGGUAAAACAUAGUGGGUGUGCGGUGCCCCUGUAUUUGGGUGUGCCGUUGUCUUCAAAUGCUCGGCUGGUUGUGUUACUUCCUGGAGUCUUCUUUUUUGGCCAAUAGAUAGACCGGGCCGGGUUAUCCUUUUUCUGAAGAUCUUUAUGCUGAUCAUAUGCCGGCUUGUGUGUGGCGCCCCGUGUUGCUCUUGGCCUGUCAUCUGGUCGUCUAUCCGGCCAGACGGCCCCUUUCUUUUUUGACUGCGGGGGCUCGAAGGCCUCCUCGUCAAAUUCGGGCAACAGCUUGCGCUUCGGGUAGCUCUUUGUCUGGUGGUUAGUGCCAUAUUUAUCUGCGGUGUUGAGUACUUUGCUCCAUCUCAUUCUGAGUGUGUCUUCUGCUGUUUUGAGCUUCUGCUUUUGCUUCUUCAAACUUCUUGCAGUGGCGACAAGCCUGUUAUGGAGAUUCAUAUGCUCUGGUGAUGUGAGAUCAUCUUCGCCAGGGAUGGGUUGCUUGUCCGGUUCAUGUUCGGCUGGCUGCUUGUUGACAUGUGCGUCGUCCACUGCUUCGCCCUGCUCUAGGGCCGGGUCCAUAUGGGUACCGUUUUUGUCGAUGCCAGUCUUCGGGCGGCACUUGCGUCGCCGCUUUGUUUGUCUGUUGGGGGAGUUGUCCUUCGCCACGUCCCGUUUUUCCUCAUUGCCGCUUCCUUUUGGUUUGUCCACCAUGCAUACGUUGUGGGAUGGGGUGGCUUUCCUGUGCCCGUUAGGCGCUGGUUCUUGGUCGACCCCGGCAUCGUCGUCCAUACCGUCGAUGUCUUCGGAGUCAUAGCCUAGCAUGUCAGUUAAAUCGUCGACAGCGGCUACCAAGUGGGUGGUGGGUGGGCUUUGAAUUUCUUCGUCGUCCGCAUCCCAGCCGUCCUGACCACAAUUUGGCCAGGUCUCUCCUGAUAACGAGAGGUAUUUUAGCGAACUCAAGAUGUCGCCAAAAGGUGAGUGUUGAGGGACGUCCGCUGCGGUGAACUCCAUGAUCGGCGCCCAGUCGGAUUCGAUCGGGGUGGGCGCGGGAGGUCCGGAGUCCGGCGAGGAGUCCGGCACCUUGGAGUCACGAGCUUUAUGAGGGACGAAGUCAGUGUUCGGCUCUAUCGCCGUAGAGGUUGCAGCCCCCGAGGCGGUGUCUAGGCAUCCAUCCUCGAUCUGCGGAGCUGGCUCCGAAUUGAAGAUCGGAGUGGUUUUGAGUGCCGCCACCAGGGUACUGUCCGGCUGUAGAGCUAAAUCAUGCCCAUCGUGAUAGUACAGCACGCUCGGGUGUGGCUCGAAUCCGUCGAGGAUCAAAUCCCCGCGGAUGUCAGCCGUGAAGUUCAAACUUCCAAAUCUGACCUGACGGCCAGGGGCGUAGCCUUCGAUCUGCUCCAGCUGGCCAAGCGAAUUGGCCCGCAGUGCAAAGCCGCCGAAUACGAAGAUCUGUCCGGGGAGGGAGGUCUCACCCUGGACUGCAUCGUCGUUGAUGAUCAAAGAAGCCAUCGAGCCUAUCGGUGACGACACAGAGGAACUCUCAAUGAAAGCACCAAUGUUGGUGUCAAAACUGGCGGAUCUCGGGUAGGGGGUCCCGAACUGUGCGUCUAGGCGAAUGGUAACAGGAGAUGAGGGACACGAUGUUUUUACCCAGGUUCGGGCCCUCUUGAUGGAGGUAAAACCCUACGUCCUGCUUGAUUAAUAUUGAUGAUGUGGGUUACAAGAGUAGAUCUACCACGAGAUCAAGGAGGCUAAACCCUAGAAGCUAGCCUAUGGUAUGAUUGUUGUCUGUCCUUCGGACUAAAGCCAUCCGGUUUAUAUAGACACCGGAGAGGGCUAGGGUUACAUAGAGUCGGUUACAAUGGUAGGAGAUCUACAUAUCCGUAUCGCCAAGCUUGCCUUCCACGCCAAGGAAAGUCCCAUCCGGACAUGGGACGAAGUCUUCAAUCUUGUAUCUUCAUAGUCUUGGAGUCCGGCCGAUGAUGGUAGUUAGGCUAUCCGGACACCCCCUAGUCCGAGACUCCCUCACUGCUCCUGGUCCUCCCAAAUCCUCAUCUCCUACGAAGUCCUCAGCAGCUCCUCCAAAUUCCUCAGCACCUGUGCAUCUGGCCACGUGCCAAAGGACUGCAGGCAUCUCUAUUGCCUCCGGUGUCUCAGCAAGUUGCUCAGCUGCACCAAAUUCUUCAUCAGGCCCCACUCUACUUAAGAAAAAGGCAACUGCUGGAUGAGGUCCUUGGCCAAGUCCGAAGAAGAAACAGGUCGCCUUCCAACUGCCAUCUGAUGAUGAAGCUGAUGAUGACGAACUUGCGGAAAUCAUCAAAGACCGACAAGAAAGGGCCGCUAGAGCCAAAGGCACACCUGUGCCACUGCUUUUGGAUCCAAGGGCGAUCCUCGAGUACAUUGAUCUCUGGCACAAGGAUCCAGAGACACCUAUACCUGAUUUUCAUCUGACACCUGGACAAAGUCACAUGCUGACCCAUUUCAUCUCUGAAGAGAAAUGGAAAUAUGAGAAGGCCAGACAGAUCAAGAAAGCACAGUACAGGAAGGAGAAAUUCCUGAAGAACAACGUUGUCUCUAUGACAACUGAUGAACUUGUGAAGAUCCAGUCUGAAAUCAAAGCCCUAAGUGAUAACUUCAAUGCCUAUUAUGCCGAUUGGCAAGGAGCCAAAAUUCAGAUUUGUCAAUCUGACAAAGAAGUUCACAAAUGUUGCAGCCCCAACACAACAAGAAAUUCCUCAGGCUAGAGCCUCUGCUCAGGCUGCUGAAGAACAUGCCAGCACCGCUGAUGAUUUUCAGCCUGCUGAUGACAAUGCUACUUCUAGGGCUGAUGACUCCAGUCCAGCCGCUGAAGAAAUUGCCAGGGCAUCCACUAGUGGUGCGCCUGAAGAAACUGAAGAAGUCAGGGAAACUGCAUCAGUUGCGCCGGAGGAAAUUCAACCAGAUUCCUCAGCUCCUCCCGCGCCUACACCAACUCCAAUCCUUCCAUCUGCAUCUGAUGUGAAGAAGACCAAGGCUGCAGAGCGAGCUGCAGUGAAGAAAAUGAAAGCAUCAGUUGCUUCAAAUUCUUCAGCCCCGAAGAAAAUGAAGCCUAUGACAAGCUCUUUUGAAAAUCCAAUCGAUGCUGUUCCAAUUUCCUCCAUUCCAUCAAAGGACCUUGUUCCUUUUGGUGAAGAGUAUGAGAUCCCAAGCGGAUGUGAUGAAGAAAAUCAUUCUGCUGCUUCAUCAGAGCAGAUUGAUGAAGAAAUUGAAGUGGAUGCAAUCCCUUCAACACCAAUCAUUUCCUCGCCUAUGCCUCAGUUCACAGCUGAAGAGGCUGGUGUUGAGGAAAUUGAAGACGAAGACGUGGAUAUUGGAUGCACCACACCUGUGAUGAACGAUGACCUUUGGGAAAGUCAGCAUCCCAAUUCUCCACUCUUCACCCCAAUCCAACAAAUCCCUCAAUCCCCUGCACCAACGGUUCAAAUGGGCUCUGAAGAAACUCAUCCCAACUCAUCCGUGCAUGAAGAAAUUCCAGCCACUAGCGCUGAAGAACCUGCUGCUGCUGAUCCUAUGAACAUGCAGACUGCAUAUGAAGAGGAACCAGAAAAUCCUCAGCCUGAAGAACCUGAGAUUGCGAUUCCAGAGGUAGUGAUGCAACUCAAUGAGACUCCACUGCCAAAGCCAAAGAAUCCAUUCUCAACGAAGCAAAAGUUCAAGGCUGAAGAUUUCUUUGGCGAGCAUGCAUUCUUCACUGACUACAAUCCUUAUGACUGUGCUCGCAUAAGGAAGAGGCGUUUCUGGACUGCUAGUUAAGCCAACUUCUAUUCCUCUGUGCUAUUCAACAAAGACAAAGUCUUCGAUCAUGCACAUAUUCCUCAUGUGGACAUGGAAUCUCUGCCAGGCUUCGAGCAGUCCUCAGUGUUCUUCACGAUGCAGGAUUGCUGAAUUUCCGUACUCACAUCUGUGAUUGGAAUGAAGAACUCAUUCUUCAAUUCUAUGCGACGCUGCACAUCACCGGAGAUUCUAAAGAUGUGAACUCAUGGGUAUUGGACUGGAUGAUAGAAAAUACUCACUACAAGGCACCAGCAACUGAAUUGCUUCGUGCCCUCCCACUCAGUCCUCCCCUUGAUGGUGCUCGUUGCAUCUACAACGAACCGGAGCUUUCAAAUCAUUACAUGCAAGUGCUGAUGAAGCCUUUGAAGCCAGGGCAGGCACCUCGAACCAAAUUCUUUGUCAAGGAAUUACUGUAUGUGCCUCGGACUAUCUAUCGCAUUCUGACGAAGACAAUGAGUCCUAUCAAAGGUCACAACUCAAAUGAUGAAGAAGUCAUUGGCAUCAUGAAGAAUAUGCUUUUCAAUAUCAUUCAUGGCGUUCCCGUCAACUUCCAUGAUUUCUUCAUGAGUACUCUGGCAAACAUUGCUAUGUCACCUUUUGAGAUGAAGCCUUAUGCACCAUGGAUUAUGAGGUUCAUCAGGACAAGGUCUUCACUCAAUUACAAGGCUGACACUCUGAACAACUACAGCUACUUGCCUCCAAUUGAAGUCCUCAAAUGGACAUUUUCCUCAGCUGAUGACAAGGGCAAGGCAACUACUGUGAUAGAUGAAGGCAUUCGUCCAUUGGAUGGUCAAUUUCGCAAAGCUGCAUCCUACUCCACCAAUGAUGACUCUGCCACACAUGACUCUGCCGCCAAUACCUCAGCCAAGCAAAAUCCUCAAGCCACAGCACCCAGGGUGAUGACUGAUAGUUAGUUACUCCUCAGUCUUCAUCAGAAGGUUGAUGGCAAUCAUAAAUGGGUCAAGCGUCAGUUUGGUUCAAUUCUUCACAACAUGACCUCAACACACAAUGCAGUGAAGAAAAACCAAUACUACCUCCAUGAAACCUUCAACCGCACCUGGGAUGUUCUUUCUAAUGUGUACAGCGCAGAAGAACUGAAGAAAAUGGGUCUCAAGGAAGAAUUAGACUAGUCUGUACCUCCACUGAAGAAAUUCAACAAGGUCAAGGUUCCUUCCUUGGUAGCCAGCUCCUAUUCUUCAUCGCGCAACACUGAUGAAAAUGAAGACUUGGACGACACUGCGGGAGGCCCUACUACGACAACCGACCCCGACAACGCUGGCGCUCCUUCAUCAACUUGAAAUUCUUGAGGGGCGUUAGUCCUUAGUUUCAAUCCUUUUGGUCAUUUGAUGACAAAGGGGGAGAAAUGUGAGUUAGUCUUCAAGCGGGUCUACUCUACAAUAUGGGCGUUUUUUUUCUAAGUUACAACUCUCGUUCUUCUAAAACAUUAUUCCUCUGCAUGCUUAUUCCUCAUUAUAUGUUAAUACACGCAUGCUGAACUACAUCAGUCACCAUAUUUCAUCAUGCAUUUCAAAUUCUUCAUAUUAUAUGUCAAAUGCGUGUAUGAAUUACAAGAUAUAGGGGGAGAUCUCCAUGAUUCAACUCUUCAAAUGUGCAAUGCCUCAAAAGCAAAAUUCCUCACUAUGCACAUCUUCAGGGGGAGUUCUUCUAUAUCUUGCAAUCAAAUUCCGCAAUAUCAGUAUUUACACUUCAUAUGUUUAUCCCCGUUGAAAACUUAACCUAUAUUGUCAUCAAUCACCAAAAAGGGGGAGAUUGUAAGUGCAUCUAGUGCCCCUUAGUGAUUUUGGUGUAUCGAAGACUUAUAGGUUAAGGGACUAAUGUGUUUAUGAGUGUCCACAGGUCUAUAAGUCUAUGAGGAGUUUGAUAUUUACAGAGAAAGUCGACCCCUAAAAAUGAAGUUCUUUGACUGAAGACUUUGAUAUUUUGAAGACUUUCUGAAGACUUUGAAAGUGAAGAAAUUGGUGUGACCUUGAAGACUUGGUAUUCAUUUGAGGAACAUGAAGCAUGAAGACUUUUGUUUUUGUAGUUUCGUUUUCUCUUUCUUGAGUCAUAGGAAACACCGUACUGUUAAAGGAGGUCAAGGAAAUACUAAGGAAAAAUUUCCAUGUGAUGCUCAACUCAAAAUCCUACACCUACCAAUCCCUUCAAGUGAAGCCUUUGGAAAUCUCAUACAGUUCAGUCAAUUUCUUCAGUGAUAGAGAUGAAGUUCUUCUAGUCUCUAAGGAAUUUGUUCUGACUGAGGAGUUAGGAAUUCACCAGUGCGGAUUGCCUACACAGUGAGGAACAUGAUAGCCCUGAGGAAUUUGAGAGUCAAAUUUCCGACCGUUGCUGUGCUGCGCGCCAGCUGUCCCAAAAUAUCUUAUCCACCUAACGGUCAUAUCAUUGAAGGGCAUUUAUGUCUUAUCAUGUUGGGCUGCUCCCUAGGCUAUAAAUAGCCGCCCCCUACAACCACUAGCUGGUUGGCUGCUUCGAGAGAACCUGCCACUUGUCAUUUGAGAGCAACCCAUCCUCCGAGGACUUUGAGUGAAAAUCAUCGAGUGAGGAAAAACCCAAAAACCAAACCCCUACAAACCCAAAGUGAUUGAGCAUCACUAAAGAGAUUGAUCCUGCGUGGAUCCGACACUUGUUACCUUUGAAGACUGUGCUUCUUCCAGACGGUUAGGCGUCAUGGUCUAGAGCAUCCAAGAGGAAUUGUGGAUCGCCGAGUGAACAAGUCUGUGAAGGUUUGGAAGUCGCCUGAAGACUUACCACGAGUGAUUGGAGGAGGUCUGUGUGACCUUAAUUCAAGGAGAAUACGGUGAGGACUUGGUGUCCUGAGCUGCAUUCUCAGCGACUGGGUGUCCGGGACUGUGUGUCCUCGAGUUUAAAUACUCAACCGCUCCAACCAGAUGUACAACUGAGACAACAGUUGGAACUGGUCUACCAAAUCAUUGUCUUCACCAACCUUCCUGGUUCUAUUCCCUCAACUCUUUCAUUUCCUCAUUACUGUAUUGAGUGAUUGUUCGUAUCUGUGUUUGAAGACUUUGACUGAAGACUUUCUCAAUUUCCUCAGUUCAAUUUCUUCAGUCUACUUGUCUUCAUCUUGUGUUAUCCUGUGACUACGCUUUCCGUACUCUGUGUUUGUCUUCAUUUCAUCAUGAUGACUAAGCCUGCAUUCCGUUAUGCUUACUUCUGAGUACUUAUUCCGCUGCAAGUAGUUCUUUGCUAAGGAAUUUCCUCACCGGCAAAUUCCUCUGUGAAGAAUUCUUAAAAAUCGCCUAUUCACGCCCCUCUAAUCGAUAUAACGCACUUUCAUAGGCGAAAAUAAUCAUGGCAACACACAGACUGUUGUAACCAUGGGCCUCCUGCAGGCCGUAUGAUCCAUGGGCCUUCAUUCGGCCGUAGGACCAUUGGCCUUCUAUACAGGCCGUAGGAUCCAUAGGCCUUCUAUACGGGCCUUAGGGAUCAAUGGGCCUUCUACGGGUCGUAGGGUCCAUGGGCCUUCUACGGGCCGUACCAUCCAUGGGCCUCAUACGGGCCGUAGGAUCCAUGGGCCUUCUACGGGGCGUAUCAUCAUUUCACCAUUCAUGGGCCGUACUAUUCUUGGACCAUAACGAGCCGUUAAUAGGCCGUAUUUGAUAACUCUAUGAAAACAGCCCAACGGGUUUUUUUGACAUGAAAACGGCCCAACGUAUUAAUGGUCCGCAAACGGGCCGACUAUAACGACGGGCUGAAUUUGGCCCACAAGCAGAAAAUGACAGUAACGGGCCGUUUGUAACCGAAUGCUGCAAAUGAGCCCAAGAAUCAAUGGGCCCUGAGAAGGCCGAAAGAUAACUUGGGCUGGAAACGGCCCAAUGGAAUAACGGGCCGUUAAUGGGUAUAAAGUGAUACACUGUUCAUUACGGGCCAGUUUCACAACGGGCCAUUAAUGGGCAAAGAGUUACAAAGGUCCUCAUAUGGUCCGAAAGAAGUCAUGGGCCAGACAUGGGCCGGAAGUUAAAACGGGUGAAUCAUAUUGGACGGCCCAGAUGAUGCUACUGGGCCUAAUUCAGAUAGGGUGUAACGGGCCCGCGGUUAGCGGGCUGUAAAUGGGCUAUAUGCGAACAGGCCGUUAACAGGCUUUCCGUGGGCCGUCCCGCCACCUUUUGACCAAGUCAAACGGGCCGGCCUUUUCACACGAAUGGGCCUCUGUUGGGCCGUGCCACGUGUCGACAUAUCAUAGGCGCCUUCUGUCCAAUGAGUGGAUGAUAUCUGUCCCAACGGUGAGCCGACACGUGUUUCCUCCAGCCAAUGAUGAUUUUACACGUGGAAAAUCCCAAUUGGUCGGGGCUGUUAAUGGGUUAUCGGAUCCAAAACCCGACCCGAUAGCUUAACGGCGUUCCGUUACGGUGGAUGCCACGUGUUGGUCACCCUUGACGAAAGCAGUUCUGUGACGCGCGAUUUAUCGUCAUGGAAGUGGACACUUCCGUGAUGAUAAUUUUGGUAAUGUCAUGGAAAACUUCUACGACAGCACAGGUAUGACUAUCUUGAUUCUAUCAUAAAUUUGUCAUGGAUGUACAUGCAUGACAAAAAACGCAAACUACUGUGACAAACACGUAUCAUCACGGAAGUGUAUUUUUUUUGUAGUGUCACCACCUGAACUUUGCCCUCUGGCCGACCUAAGUCCAAAGUUCAUGUCUAGUUUGAUGUUCGUGGUAGUUUUGAAGGUUACCACGCUUGGGUUUGGUCUCAGGUGUAGUACAAAUGAUUUCACGUGCCAGGUAAGUUUCUAGACAGUAACUUUGAGAGCUUACUGUGGCCAAACUACUGGGAGUUGGGGGUUGGGCUUUGGAGGCUAGCAAUCAUCUACUAAGGUGAUGAUGCACAAGAAAAACCAACCACAAUUGAGCAAAUAAAAUGGUAGUUUAUGUAGAAACUACCAUUUCUGUCCAGAACAGAAAAUAUUUUCUGUAGCAAAAAUAUUCCAAAAAGUGAUGAAAUAUUUUUGCUCAGAAAGGUGCCCUAGGGUUCAAAGAAUAAUUAGGAUUUUUCUCUGAUUUUUAUGGGCAAGAAAAAUUGGGGUUGCUUUGGAGCACAUUGCUCUAGCUAGGGUUUAAGAGAUGGAAAUGAAUAUUUUUCAUUAAGAAAAAUAUUCCAAAUAUUAUUUUGGUGUGAACCAAAGAGGGAAUGAUGGUUAGAGAGGGAAAUGGGGCACUUGGGUGGAAGCCAAGGGGUACCCAAGUGGUUAAGUCCAUAUGAAAAGAUUCAAAACUCCAAGUUUCAAAUUCGAAACAACUGAAAAUCAGGCAAAGAAGAGAGGGUAAAAACUAGGCUGUCACAAACCUCCCCCACUUAGAAUGAAUCUCGUCCUCGAGAUUCGGUUGCUUGGGAAAACCAUUCUGGGUAAUGUGCCUUUAGAAAUUCUUCCCGUUCCCAAGUUGAUUCUAACUUCGUAUGAUGCUCCCACUGGACUUUGUACAAUUUCCUUGCUUUACUACGAGUGACCCUUUCCAUCUGAUCCAAGAUUCUAACCGUCCUCUCUUCGUAUGUUAAAUCCUUUGCCAGCUCUAUUUCAGUCAUAUCAGUCUUUUUCUCAGGCGGCGAUAUGCAUCGCCUCAAUUGUGAAACAUGAAACACGUUGUGCAUGUCCGACAAUUCAGGGGGUAGUUCCAACUGAUAUGCAACAGUACCCACUCAUGAUGGGAAAUGGACCAAUAAAUCUAGGUGCCAGCUUUACAUGAGUCUGGAAUCUCUUGAUUCCUUUCAUAGGCAUGACUCGGAGGUAUACGUGUUCUCCGGGUUUAAAACUGAUCUAUCGGUGAUUUGCAUCAUAAUAACUCUUCUGUCGAGAUUUGGCCAACUGCAAUCUGUCUCUGAUUUCCAUGACUUGUUUCUCAGCUUCCAUCAUGAGAUCCGUUCCGAAAAUACGGCUAUCCGGUUUGAGACCAAUUUAAAGGGGUGCGGCACUUACGGCCAUACAAAGCCUCAUAUGGUGACAUCUUUAGACUAGUCUGGAAGCUAUUAUUGUAAGAGAACUCAGCAUACGGCAAGCAGCCUUCCCAUUUAGGUCCUUGGGCCAAAGCACAGGCUCACAACAUGUCUUCGAGUAUUUGGUUUACCCGCCCCGUUUGUCCAUCAGUCUGAGGAUGAUAAGCGGUACUGUAUUUCAGCGCUGUCCCCAAGGCUUGAUGGAGAAGGGAACAAAAAGCGGAUGUAAAAAGUAAACCUCGGUUAGAAGUGAUGGUUUGGGGUACUCCAUGCAGGCUGACUAUUCUGGAUACAUAGAGCUGUGCAAGU
RNAcentral lists this long non-coding RNA (67860 nucleotides) under Triticum aestivum (bread wheat). RNAcentral's name for it is "long non-coding RNA (TAES_LNC028126)". The record is from RNAcentral. Lineage: Eukaryota; Viridiplantae; Streptophyta; Magnoliopsida; Poales; Poaceae.